This 49875-nucleotide long non-coding RNA is filed under the name Eucalyptus grandis. RNAcentral's name for it is "long non-coding RNA (EGRA_LNC000228)". Lineage: Eukaryota; Viridiplantae; Streptophyta; Magnoliopsida; Myrtales; Myrtaceae. The record is from RNAcentral.
CUCACAGCUGUAACAGCUCAAAGCAGCUUUUAGGAAAUUACAUUCCUUAGCUCUUAGGUGCGGUAACCUUGUUGCAAUGUUACUAUUUUAUAAAGUGAAGUGGCUUGUUAAUUGGGCAAUACUUUUUAAAAUUAUAAUGCCUCAAAGUAGGGUAAAAUUCUAUUAUUAAAAUCCCUAUAGUUGUGAAUGCGUCGUAGCCGUAAGUAAGGAGUUUGCCAAACACUUCGUAAAUGUUACAGCAGUACUUUUGAGAAGUAUUGAAAGUAGCAUGCUCGUGUUCAUACGAAUUGAGAAAGAGAGACCUUUUGCCAUCGAUGAAAUGCUCGGAAGGGUGGUGCCAAUGACAUUGUUGCAAGAAGUAUUCUCUACCAUCUACCUCGAUCGACCCUGCCCUUCUAUCGUCCCACCGAAGCUGCAAUCGAUACAAAUAAAGUUGCUCAAUUAUUUUUCUCUAUUGAUAUUUUGUGGUCGAGGAUAGACCGUUCAUCUUCCCUGGUUGGACACUUAUUACAGAUUAAAUGAAGUCAAAGGGCGAAUAUUUACUAGCUUUUACCAUAGUCAUGUGGGUCCAUAAUGAGAUUCUCAUUAAAGCUUCUGAUCAUCUUGUAUUAUACAUGUCGGAGAAGGUUUAGAAAGAAAAAGAAAAGAAAAGAAACAAACAAACAAACCCAAGUCAUAUGGGAGUUGAAGUUGUCCAAGAUCCGUUUUCCUAUUCAGUAGUCAUAUCGAUUGGGAGUUACUUAUGCAUUUUUUGCAUACGUAGGACACAGAACACCUUGGAGCAUGGCAAGGUCUAAACUCCACUUUAAAAUCAGAAAAUUAAUCAAUUCAAAUCUUGAAUAUCUUGAAAAUUAUUUAAGUGACUUAAAAAUGACGUUAUUCAUACUUUUCUGAAAUGAAAUAUUAGAAGUUCAAGAUAAAUAUUGCGUCAAAUACCUACUCAUUUGCUCUUGUUAAAAUCGAGGAUUUAACACUUUUCAAAGGAAACCAGGGCUUGGAAUUGUUAGCAUUUCCCAUGUUAGCAUGUUUUUCGAAGAAAAAAAGGCGGGGAUCAUCAUAAUUCUGGUCGGAUUUACCUGAAGAUCAUGGCCUCUAUUCCUGACGUAGGCAUAGCUUGGCUUAUAAUUCCUCCUUAGGUCCCCCAAGUGUGGAAUCACUUUCACAUUCUCUCUUGCCAAGUCAAUUGGAGAUUGCCUCCGUCCUUCACUGCAUUCUCUCCAUUCUUCCUCCAGAUAUCCCCAGUUCUCUGGUCCCCUCUCGCUCCCGACUAUGUAACUGAAGCCAGUCUCAUCCUCUAACGCACCACGAAAUCACACACGCGCAGAACGACAUCGCCAAAAUCAAAAGCCAAAACCACCAUGACAUACACUGAGAGAGAGAGAGAGAGAGAGAGAGAGAGAGAGAGAGAGAGAGAGAGAGGAGUGUUUACCAACUUCUCCAGAUGGGGUCGAUGCCGCAUGCAAGUACGUGGCAAGAAGACUUAGGAGGAGAGCGGAGAAGACUAGAGUUUUGCUUUGGCUUUUCAUCUUGUUUUUCCCUUCUUCUCAAAAGGAUUUCGGUGCAAGCGAAUACAAUUACUCAACUAGAACGAGACGCGAUGCCUCAAUCAGUUUGUUUUAGUGAAACCUCCUAACUCCCAUUUAUAUAGGCGUUUCAACUUUGAGUGAACUUCGACCAAAAAAAGAAAAAAAAAAAAACUUUGAGUGAACAGUGCUAUGCACGUGAACAAGGUGGUUCGGUAAAGAUUGUGCGACUACGACAAAUAAUGAAGACGUGAGGAAUCUGUCCACCUGUCUAUCUCGCUUAAUGGUAACUUAAUCUAUAGUCUAAUAGUAGAGAGAGAGAAGUGAUUACCAACUUCUCCAGAUGGGGUCCCAUUCAUAUAUGCAUUUCAACUUCGAGUGAACAGUGCCAUGCACGUGAACAAGGUGGUUCGGUAAAUAUUGUGCGACUACGACUAAUAAUGAAGACGUGAGGAAUCCGUCCAUCUGUCUGUCUUACCUAUCGUUAAUUAAUCUAUAGUCUAACAGUGGAUAAAUAAUCCGUAAUCUAUCACGUGCUAUAAAAAGGUUAUGCAAGUUCUAGAGAAUUCAUUACUGAAAGGGCAUUGAGCCAGCUGAUAAGUCCAAGACGUAAUAAAUAAAAUCAUUAAGAGGGUAGUUAUUUUUUAUAACCUAAGGGCACGGGCGCCUGUCACGACAAAUUUCUCCCAUACAUUUGUGUGAUGAAAAGUGGGCCUUCAGAGCAGUAGGGUGAAAUGUGAGAGAUGCAAAAGGGUUGAUACAAUGUACAAUUGGUUGUAGAAGUAGGGUCGGAAAUUUUAUGCUAGAUUCCGGAGAUGUGUUGAUUAUCAUUUUAAAUUAUCUAUAAAGGAGGCUAGCCUUUGAUGCAUAAACUGGUGGAUAGGUGAUGCUGCUCUCCUAAUAAUUGGUUACGGCAAGCCAAAACCAAUCGUCAGGCUUCCGUGAGAUGUAUGUCUUACUCGAGGACUGAAUGCCAAGCUAAAUAGGGUAAAGUUUAGUCAAUAAUGACUAUACAUGUGUCGCUCCAAGGACUCGAUUAGUAAGACUUUCAUGUUGAACGUAAUCCAUAUGGUAGAUCUUUCCUAAUAACGCGCAGUAGAGGGAUUUCCUAGGUAAUCAAUCGUACUAAGUAGCGUGUUGAAUGCAAGGCUCACGUUGCUAUUUUGAUUAGUGGAUAAAAUACUCCCGUUACUUUCAUGUCGAAUCUAAUCCACAUGUUACAUGAUUCCUAGUGACGUGCAGUAAUGGAACUUGCAAGGUAACCAGUCGAAAUAAGUUGCAUGUUGAAUGCAAGGCUCACGUUGCCAUUUUGACUAGUUUGAUAAAAUAAUUACAUUACUGUCAUAUUGAAUAUAGUCUAUAUGGUAGAUCUUUCCUAGAGACGUGCAGCAGAGGGAUUUGCUAGUUGACCAGCCAAACUAAGUUGCAUGUUGAAUGAAAGGCUCACGUUCCGUUCGCUGGGUCCGCCUAUGUCGGGCCCAGCUAACGCAUAUAUAAAACAAAAAUAAAAGUAACGAAAUGAAUUUUCCAUGUCCUACCCUCUAUCACGCGAGAGAAGUUAUAGUACCCAAGCAUGCCUCACACUCUGAUCAUUAAAGACGCGAAUGAUAGUCAUUAUAUUUUUAGAUACAAUUUUUUGCCACUGUUUUUAUUCUUUAAAAUAAAAAUAUACGUUUGAUAGCAACACAAAAUUUAUAUAUCCAAAAUAUAAAUUUUAUUUGAUAACCACACAAAAUUUCUUCAUACUAAGUGGACGGCAAUGGGAAGAGAUUGGCGAAGGAUGGUGGACGGUGAUAGCAAGAGGUGGCAGUCAGUGGCAACUAGCGAACAGCGGAUGGGUGGUCACCUAGUAGUAACAGCAAGUAAUAAGAAAAGUUUUUAUUUAUCUUUUCCGUUCUAAAUUUAUUUCUAGGCUAAAAAUUUAUUGUAUAAGUAAAAAAAUGAAAUUGUGCUAUUAAACAAAUUUUCAUUCUAAGCCUGUUUUCAAUAACAGAAAAAUAAAUCGGAUCAAAAAUAAAAUAAUUAUCAUGUGCUCCUUAAAUUGCUAGUAAAAUUAAGUUAUUCUAUCUCAAAUGCGAUGUCACGAGAAAUGAGUAUGAAACUCCGAUUCGACGACGAGGGAUAGCCAUCAGCGUAGGUUAUCCCCUUUCGAUCUUUUUAAAAAGAAAUGCCUACAUUUUUUGUUUUAUAUAAAGUUUUCCGUUCACCUUUCUUUUCAUUUCACUUUUAUCCAUCCUAGGAGACUACGAUCCGCACCCGCAAGUGACAAGACACAUAAUAAUAAGACCGCCCCAUUGAUGAAUAACAAAAAAUAAAUAAAAAAUCACGAGAAUGAGAUGGUCCAAUUAUCUACGUGGCAACAUGUAAGCGCUCACUUCAUGCUCCCAAUUUUCAUUGGACAGUUGUGGUUGGCGAAGAAUGCCGCCAUUGAAGCCAAGACAACCAAGAGCGGCCAGGUGAUCGUUUUGUCAUUUGUCAAUGCGUGGCGUUGCACAUUCAUCUGCUUCGUAACAUUCUUUUCUCUUCUCUCUUUUUGGUUGCACCGACUCUAUCAUUUGCUCCGGAUAAGAAUAUUAAAAGCAUCGUAAUCUUCUUACGGUGCUUAUUCGAAUACUAUUACUUUUUUUCAAUCACCUGAUUAUCACAUGGGUAUAAAAUUUUUCACUAAAAUACCGUUUCUCAUGAAUAAUCCUUUCCAUUCAAAUGUGAAAUUUAUAAAUAAAUUAAAGCCCAAUAUAGCAAGAGUACAAAUAAAUGCCAUUGUUUCUUUUCUCUCUUUAAGUGCUUCCACACAUAAACAAUGUUGUUUUCAGUUUAUCUGUCUUUUCAAAUAUCGAUGUUUUUCCUCUCUCAACGCUUUGUCUCUGAAAAUCCUAUGCCCAUAGAUCAUAGGACAAAGCAAAUCAAGCUCUCUUUCCAUUAGGGCUUUGUCUUCUCCUCUGCUCACACACUCACUCUAUGUUUGUGGAGUGAGCUCUUGCUUGUUCAGAUGUCACGCCCUGAACCUCGAGCACGCCAACAUCCCACCAUGGUCAUACAAAUGCGACAUUCCCAAGAUACGUCGCCGACCCAUUCAUUUUAUUACGCAUGCAGAAGCGAAACAAAUCCCUUGGCUACAUUUAACUUGGGAUAGAAAAGCAGGUAAUCAAUCGCAAUACCGAACACUCAUUUACAAACACAAAGGGUUUAAGUACAACAUUGGACUGUCUACAAAAUAGACCAGCUCGACAAAAGGGGAAUUAUCCUAAAACCAACUAGCAGGACACGUUCUCCAAUCCUUAUGAUUUCAUCUCUGCAACUCCUCAAGACCAACUAAAGCUAUCUAGCCGCUCCGUCCACCAGGGACCUGAAAUUGUAAUCCCCAAACUGGGAUGAGACAAUGUCUCAGCAAGUUCAACCCCCUAAACCCCUAUUAGAAAGAAAAUACGCCAAAGGGUGGCCUAGCCACAUCACACAGAGAACUUACCUCGCCUCAAUUCCUUCCUGUAGGUUAGCACAAUUUGUAUCACACAAUCUCAAGUAUUAAUAAUAAUUCAAACAAUUGGAACGCCAUCACUUUCAUAUAAAUCACAGUCACACUUAGCACGCAUUCCAAUUAUUAUUCACUACCACACAAGGGCAUAGCCUACUCGCAGUUCGGCUAUCUUCUAAUAUUAAUGCCAGGCAUCGCCUCUUCCUUUGGAGCGCGGCUUCGUCACUACGUCAACAGCAUUCCCAAAGGAGCAUCGUCUCUCCCCUUAGAGCACGGCUUUGUCACUACGUCGACGGCAUUCCCGAAAGAGCAUCGAUCUAGUCGACCCAGCCUCUACUGCGAUCGACAUCCACCGCGUGGGCAUCCCAUAUAAGGGCAAGUCCGGCUCAAUAGCCCAGGACGAUUCCUCUUAGUUAUCACACAGCCAAAGCAUACUCAGCCCCAGGACACUUUGCAUUUCACUCAAUAUUUCCACUUAAAAUAGUGAUCUCGGCCAUUUUUCUUCAUAUUAAAAAUAUUCCAGAAAUUACUCACGUGUGUGGGGGCAUGCUAAUUUCGAACCAGAAAGCAAAUAUCUCACUUUUUCAAACCCUACUACUUAAUAUAAUCAUUAAAAUCUAAUUUUUGCAUCAAAACCCGACACUUGGGUUUUUAUGAAUAAAAUCCAUAUUUAUCACAAUCAACACUCAAUUUGCCACAUCCAUUCAUCAAAUUCAAAUUCUAAAUGCACAAAGCGAUCAGCACAAAAUUCUGAGAAAAUAAGGUUCCAAAAUAAUUUUCAAAAUUUAUUAAAUAAUUAAAUUUAUUCCGAAAAUUAAUUAAAUAAUAACAUCCCUAUCUUUCAUGAUCCACACUCAAUUUAUAAUAUCCAAUCAUCAAUUUCAAAAUCUGAUUACACAACAACGACCGGCACGAAAUUCUGAGAAUUUAGGGUCCUGACAAAAUUUUCGGAAUUUAAUAAAUAAUUAAAUUUAUUCCGAAAAUAAUUCAAUAAUAAUAUUUUAAUAAUUUCGAAUAAUAUAUUAUUAUUAAAUUAUUUAAUAAUUUCGAAAUAUUUAAAUAACUCAAAAGUAAAUUCCUUUAUGUCAAAUCAAGGCUUAUUCUAAAUAAACCUACUUACCCUUAAUUAAGCACACUUUAAAUUAAAACACCACCUUAAUUUAAUCUAUUCUUAAAUAACCUAAACUAACAACCUCAUAAUACUUAACAUAAACUAAACCUCCCUAAGCAUAAUUAACCCUCUAAGCGAGGUUUAGUGAGCUAAACUCACUGGAAUCACUUUUUGACGAGUCUUCGGCGAAGAGCACGACGAUGCCGACAACAAAUCUACAUGGAGCAACACCAAAGGAGGUCGGGAAGAGACUGGAAACGCUCCUCAAAAAUCUGGAUCUUGCUAGCCGAAGGUUGCUGCUCACGGUCGGAAUGGAGGCGCGCUGGCGGCUACUUGGACGGAGAAGGACCAAUGGAAGCAACUAGGGCUCGGGACGGCAACUAGUGGCGAUAAACGGCGGUGAUGGAGGCUCUGGCGAUGAUGACUAGCUGCUGGCGAGGAGGGACGACGAUGCUGGAGUUUAGGCGGAGGCGGCAAGCGGACGAGCUACUCGGCGGAGCAACGCGCGGGCCUCCUCACGCGGACAGGCGAUGAUCGCGACGGCUCCGGCGAACGGCGACGGUUGCUACGAACGGGCGAAAGGGGGUGGACGAAGGGGGUCGGUUCCGCUGGUUUUCCUUUCAGCUUUUUCCUCCUUCCCUCUCUUUUCCCAAGCUUGAAGAUGAUGGAGACAAUGGGGAAGUGACAUCCCACCUUUUUGGGAUUCAAUCUCCACCCUCCAAGUGUCACCACCCUAGCCAAUCUUGCACCACCCCAUGACAUCACUUGUGAUGUCACAAUCCACUAACUCUAUCCUCCCACAACCUUAGUCCAAUAGGUUCAAUUUCAUUUUCCGCCGGGGCAUAGAAUCUUGUACACUUAAUUCAAUCAAUUCUCAAUCAAUUCCAUCCAAUUGAAGCUGAAUUAAAUUAACCCAAUGUCACAACGCUUCAAUUCAAUUAUUUACUUGACCAUAGAACUAUCUUGAUCUCAAAAAUACCACCAAAAGAGGGCCUGCCAAUUUUCCGAACCAAAUUAACCAUACUCUAAUUAUUAUAUUGAAAAAGCACGGCUUGCAUGAAAAAGUCUUACGGAGAUGAGUCAAUAUUUCUAAAAUGAUUUGUGACACACCCAGACUUCCAAUUUCUGAAUUCGAUCUCAAUUCCACAGUUAAUUUCACUUUGGCACAAUAUUAGCACGGCCUAACCUACCGGGUAGCCUUUAGAAAUUUUCAAGCAUUUGACAUGUGGUUGAUCAUCUCAAGCCAUAAUGUACAUCUUUGAAACAUUGGCGACUUUUGAUUGUCGGGGUAAUCUCCAGGUUUCAAAUACGAGCUGUGGCACCCCUCGACGGCCCCCGAUCUGAUUAGGGUCGCCACAGUUCGCUUACCUUUUACUUUCCUUAUUAACACGUCACUCUGAUACCAUUUCAAGUGUAGCGGGUCCAUACAACUUGGGGGUUUACAUCUUUUAGAAAACCAUUUUAAGUGCAGCACAUCCAACAACUUCCUUCCCUAUAUUCAGAAAAUGAUGCACACCUACUAAACAUCUUAUAUAAGUUAAAGCCGAACACGUUUAUUUUACAUAGAGCAGAUGGACAUAUUUAGUCAAUACAUCAAAAUGCCGUAGUCUUCUAUACUCGGCUACACUUCAAAGGAUGACCGACAUCUUCUCUAACAGUCGAAUACUUAAAGUCCAUUGAUCAGUGUCGGCGUCCAAAAGUUUCCUCCCUUUGUUAUUCUCCUCCUUAGAAUCAUAACCAACCACUUGAUUCAUCUACUGGUAGCAGUUGUAGUAGAGGUAUCUUUUCUAGUUUGAAAUGUUAUUCCCCAAAAGGGGUGAGUACAACCACUCAGCAGGUAAAGGAAUCCAAUAACCACUCAAUGCAUCACACAAAUCAUACAUGCAUUGCGGGCGUUACUUACCUUGAAGCCAGGCGUAUACUAUCAUGCAUCAUCACCACAAUCAUAACACAUACAUGUGUAUCAUCAUGUCAUACUCUUAUCAUCAUCAUCAUGACAUUAUUAUAUCACACACAUGUCAUCAUCAUCAUGACAUCAUCAUAUCACACAUGUCAUCAUCAUCAUGACUUCAUCAUACCAUACACAUAUAUGCAUGUCAUCAUGCCAUAUCAUAUAUCAUCAUCAUAUCACACCAUACAUCAUCAUCACCAUGCAUAUCAUCAUACCAUGGGUGAUCAUCACCAUAUCACAUCAUACAUCAUCAUCAUCAUCAUGCAUAUCAUCAUGCCAUGGGUGAUCAUCAUCAUAUCACAUCAUACAUCAUCAUCAUCAUAUCAUAUCAUACCAUAUCAUAUCAUGCAUGGUUCAAUUUCCACUUUUAACUUUCAAUUUGAUCACCACAUCACCCUUCCUCGGAUCAUCAAUUUCAUCUCAUAUUUUACACUCGCAUCCCAUGCGAGAAAACCUCUGGCAUUCAGCCAUUCCAGGCCACCGGGCAUCCGGCUCCCCCCACAUUCCGGGCAUCUCGCAUCCCAACUGGCAUCACGAGGCAUUCCCCUCGGGCAAAGACCUCCGACAGGGCUUCUGGCAUUUACACUCCCUAGCCGGGCAUCCCGCACCCCAAUCCUGGCAUCGUGAGGCAUUCCCCUCGGGCAAAGACCUCUGACAGGGCUUCCGGAAUUAUGUACCGACAUACCACCAGGCUUCCCCUGGAAUUACGUACCGUAUACCACCGAGCAUCCCGACACUCCCGGGGAAUCUCCGGAAUUACGCCACUAGGCCACCGGGCAUCAUCAUCCACCACAACAACCUCCUCAUUUAACAUUAUUCAUGUUUACCAAUUUCAGUCUUAAUUUAGCAUGGCAUAUGAUGUAUUGGCAAAUCAACAAUCAUGUUCAGCAUUUGAAUUCCCACAUGCAUCUCAAUUCAUUGUCAUGCAUACAUCAAGACCUCAUCAUUCAUACUACAUGGUACAAUUAUUUAUGGAAUAAAAUUUAAUGGAAUUAUGCCAAAUAAAAUAAUCCAUUUUUCAUGUCCUUUUUCAUUUAUUUAAAUUUCAACUUGUGCCAUUUUCAAAAAUAUUAAUUUAAUAUCUAUAUAAUUGUCAAAAAUCAUAAAAAUUAAGGAAAGUGAUAAUCAAGACAAUAGGAUAAUGAUUUCAUGCAAAAUACAUGGCCAAAUAGAAUUUCACCAAAUUUCAUAAUUCACACAAAACAGCAUAUAAUUUUUGGAUGAAAUCAGAAUGCACAGUUUCUGAAGAAAUUCGAUUAAAAUAUCCAUAUGACCUCCAAAAAUUACGAAAUUUUACCGAGUUAUAUCCAAGACAUUCAAGUACAUUUUUCAUGAAGACUUUCAAGUCAUAUUCUUUUUAGAUAAAUUUCUACAGUCUCACGAAGCUUCUGGAUCCAACACCGAAUCGUCCAGUGCAUGCUUCUCCGAAAUACUGAGUUUUCACCUACCUAUUCUUCUUAUUUUCCUCUGAAAUUUGGAUAUGUUCUACAUCAAUAUGUUCUCUACAAGUUUCAUGAAGAGAUCCAAGUAAAAUAUCCAGUGUAUAGUCCUCAUUUAGGUCCAUGAAAUCUCGGGUGUCCUGUAAUACAUCUCCAGAAUUACCGUCUUCAAGAUCUAGUCGAUUUACUAGGUUAUACUUGUUCAUUUCACUUCAAAUUUGAGUCUGCUGUAUUUUAAGAUGUCCCCUACAAAUUUCAUGAAGAAAUCGAAGAGAGAUUCUUAGCACAACUCAACAUGCAACCACAAAUCCAUCAAAAGGUCAGUGAAAUCUUUCCAGAUCUGAGGUCUCUGUAGGAUGAGAGUUUAACCCAUUAAAUCUCUAUCAUUUUACACCAAAUUUUAGUAUGUUAUAUUUUAAGAUGUUAGAUAAAACUUUCAUGAAGAUAUACAAGUCAAAAUCGAACUCUAAACAUGCAUGCAAGCUCUCACAAGUUUCUGACUCAAACAGUUUAUGCGAAAACAUUCCAUAUCUAGCAUCUCCGUAGGAUGAGAGUUUUACCCCUUAAAUCUCCACCAUUUUGUCCCAAAUUUUAGUAUGUUGUAGUUUAAGAUGUUGGAUACAAGUUUUGUGAAGUAAUCAAAGUCAAAAUCCAACUUGAAACAUGCAUGCAAGCCCUCACAAGAUUCUGGUUCAGGCGGAUCUCACGAAAUCAGCAUGCAAAGUCAAGAACAGCCACAUUCUAGCUCCGAUUUUUGCCUUCCCUAUGAUCCGAAACCUACCACAAACAAAUCAUACAUGCAAGGCACACAUGCAAGGGUGGAAAUCAGUCCCAACUUGCCUCAAAGAUCAAGCAGACAGCGACACACGAACGGCACACCGGCAACGGACGAAUGGCAUGUGGGCGGCGACGGGCGAGCUCCUUCCUUUCUCUCUUCCUCUCUUCCUCUCUUUCUCUCUUUCUCUCCUCUCUCUCUUCCUUUUUGGUUGUAUUUAUAUUGCAUGCACCCCUUCUUUGCAUGGGGGACACUUGUCCCUAAGAAGGAGACAAGUGUCUCCCUUGUUGAAGACACUUGGAGGAAGCCAUGCGGCUCCUCCUUCACCCUCCAUGCGCGACAAUGGGCCGGGCUUAUGGCCCACUUUAGGCCCAUCUCACUUGGGCCCUAGGUCCAAACUCAAGUUUAUUUUAUUUUAUUUUUAUAAUAUAUCUUAAUCAUCAUUUAAAUAAAUAUCUAAUUGCAUAAAUAAUAAGGCCAUUAAACUUAUAGUCACAAAUCCAUAAAUUCCAAUUUAUGAUGCACAUGGCCAAUGAUAGAAUUUUCUUUCCUAUCACAUAAUUAUCCCUUAAAAGCUUGGCCAUAUAUCUUAUUGCAAAUUAUGGAUUAAAUGGCCAUAAAAUAACUUGAUGGUACUUCCAUCACCUAUUCAUAGACUUUAAUGUAACUAGAGGUCGUUAAGAAUUUUGGGAUGCCACAUGAACAUAGGGUACCCAAUCGACUGAAAAGUCGGUCCAGUGCCGAUCGACAAGAAUUGUGUGAUCUGGUGGAAUCUCCCACACCUGAUCACAUGCCUCUGUCGAGUCGACCUAUCUCUGAUCUCUAAUCGAUUUUUAAUUGUGCUGUAAUGACCCUUGCAGAUUAGCUCGGUUGAAAGAUCGCUUCCGGGUCAAAUUCUCGAGUCCGAUGCAUUAGAAUUUCUUAACAGCUUCACCUAAUAGACUAGUUUUCACAUGAGUGGCCGACUCAAGGAAAAGAACUAUAUGCGUGCCAACGAAAUGCCCGUCUCAAUUUAUUGAAAAUAGAAUUGGAAAAUCGGGAUGGCACAGUUAUCCUCUUUCGCCAGCAGCCCAAACCCUUUUUGUCUAAACUAUUCUUGUUGGACUUCGCAAGCUACAAUAGCAAAAAUAUGACUUUCAUAUUCGCUUGUUGAUGGAGCCGUGAGCCACUUCUGUUGCUUCUACUGCCCAUUGCAAAUUUGAUGAGAUGAUUUGCCCCAAUGUGAAGUAUUAGGGUUUUGGUUCAAUUAGAGUUCUUGAAGAUCAAAAUUGAAUUUUGCUCCAAUUUUUUUAAGUGAGGCUAGGGUUGUUCAAUCAGAGUCACCAUACUCUUGUGAGGCAUGCUUGGGUACUAUAACUUCUCUUGCGUGAUAGUGGGUAGGACAUGUUUAAAUUAAAUGCCUUGAAUUAGCCUUGGAUGGGAGACAUUUCAUAUUUUAAAGAUUUGCAUGAUCCUAUUGAUGGUGAUAAGGUUAAAGGAGACAAGGAAGACAAAGAAUGGGCAAAUGAAUGAGAAAAUGAUUGGGUUUAUUCAACAAUGAAUUGAUGAUCGUGUUGCCCAAGAAACAAAACCAAUAUUUUGUGGAAAAAAAUUACAAGAUCUCUAUGAGAGGAGAUCUCAUAGAAUAAAGCUUUUUUUUUUCUUUUUAGUUAAAAGACUUGUGAAUUUGAGAUACAAAGAAAGGAUUAGCAUGUCAGAAUAUUUAGGGAUAUUCAAGAUGUUGUAAGUUAAUCAACAAAAUCUUGAGAUUGACCUAAGUGAUGAAUUACAAUCAUGUCUAUUGCUUGGUACUCUUCCAAAAAGUUGGGAUGCUUUGGUUGUGGCAUUAAACAAUCGGACUCCUUUUGGUGUGUCUUCUAUGAGCAUGAUUAAAGAAAACUUUUUCUAUGAAGAAACAGUGCGAAAAUGCUUGAAUUAUACUUAUAAAACGAAGGUUUUGGUCAUAGAAAACUGGGCGAGAAGUCAAUAGAAAAAAUUACAAAUUAAUGAUGAUAUAGGCAUGCCAAGAGGAAGGUCGAAAUUAACACCAAGGAGUGUUAAAUGUUAUGAUUGUGGUAAAAUAGGACAUUAUGCCAAAUAGUACUAGUUGCCAAAGAGAGAUAAAUCCCAUGAUAGAAAUGGAUAUUGAAAUAAAGAAAAGACUAUGUUCAUAUGUGAUGACACUUGUGUGAAUCUUACUUGGCAAGGUUGUAGCUGGGUCGUUGAUUUAGCAACUUUAAUUCAUGUGAUGUCACAGCAUGACUACUUCACUUCGUAUUGCAGCGAUGAUUUCAUUGUGUUAGGAUGAAAAACAGUAGUGUCUCCAAGGUUAUUAGGAUAGGAAAUGUUUAUUUGGAAACCGGUAUUAGAUGUAUAUUGCUUUUGAAAAAUGUAAGACAUGUUCAGAGCAUUCGACUUCACUUUAUCUCCAUUGGUGCCUUAGAUGAUGAUGGUUAUUGCAAUUUCUUUGGUAAUAGCUAAUGGAAAUUGACCAAAGGUUUCAUGAUAAUGGCUAAGGGUAAGAAGCGUGCACUCUCUACACCAUGCAAGCUAAGUUGAUGGGAGUAAAGGUAAAUGCAGUGAAGGACUCCUUAGUUAACCUAUAACUUAUGAAACUCGAUCAUCUUUAUGAGAAGGUGGUUGAAAUUCUUGCUAGAAAAAAAAUUUCUACCAUUAAAUGAGAGAAAUAUCAAGGAAUGUACUCACUAUCUAAUAGGUGAGCAACAAAGAUUAUCAUCCAUAGUUCCUCUCCACACACAACAUUAGAUGUAUUUGAUUUAGUUCACACUGUUGUUUGUUACAUGGAUGCUAGAUCACUUACUGGUACAUUAUACUUUGAAAUAUUUAUUGAUAAUUGCUCUAGAAAAAUAUGGGCUAUUACUUUGAAAUUUAAAGACCAGAUGCUUGUUGCUUUUAACCAAUUUCAUGUUAAUGAAGAAAGAGAAAUUGGGAAAAAAUUGAAAUGUGUUCGACUUGACAAUAGUGGCGAAUAUAGAGACUUAUUUGAACAUUAUUGUAGAGAUCACGGUUUCAAGCUUGAGAAGACAGUUUUGAAAACACCACCACAAAAUAGAGUGGCGGAGAGAAUGAACUAAAUAAUUAAUUAUUUAAUUCAGUGUAGGCUUUCUCAUGCGAGGUUACUAAAAUCAUUAUGAGAUGAAGCAAUGAGAGUAAGAGUGGACUUGAUAAAUCUUUUCCCAUCAUUUUUUCUUGAAAGGGAUGUUUCGCAAAGAGUUUGGAGUGGGAAAGAUAUUUCGUACAAUCAUCUAAAAGUGUUUAGUUGUCAUGCAUCCAUGCAUGUUCCAAACCUGAUGACAAGUCUAAGAAAUGUAUCUUAUGAAGAGUUUGGCUUCAUGUUAUAGGAUCCAACUGUAAAGAAAGUCUUAGAAGCCAAGUUGCAGUAUUCUUUAGACAUCAAACCAAGACAUUGAUAAGUCAAGUUGGCCAAAGAUUGUAGUUCAACAAUCCAUGAGUUUUAGCCCAAAUCCUCCAAGGUAUUAGGUGGAAAUCAUGAGGAAGAAGUAUAUGGGAAUGAUGAAGAUAGCAAAUCUUCACAAAAUGUUAAUUCUUCAGUUGAGACAGGUGAAACAAUUGACCAAGAACAACCCACUGAGCCAAUGGAACCAAUUGAGCAAGAACACUUAAAAAUAAGCCAAUGUCCUACCUCAAGUUAGAAAAUCUACAACUGUGACAUCUCAAAAUUUGACCCCGUUUCGAAUAUAUGAAAUGGUUGGUUUGUCGAUGUGCUUUGGUUAAUUUACUCGAAACUGAUUACUCUUGAGUUAACUAAUCUAUUAGGUGAGGCCGUUAAGGAAUAUAAACACGAUAGAUUGGAGAAUUCGAUCAGAAAUCGAACACUCAACCAUAAUAAUCGACAAAAGUCAAUACGAUGCUGUUAUAAAUCGAUUAGCAAACAAAUAUAGGUUGAUUUGAUGGAAUCAUGUAGUCGAAUUGUUGGUGAUUCCGCACAAUUGCGAUAUUCGUGUCGAACAUCAGUAAACCGAUUUUCUAUCGAUAUUAUACUCAGAACACGUAAUUGAAACCUCAUGAUUUUAUGACAACCGAGAGUCGUCUACAAUUCGGAGAUACACAAACGUGGAUUGACAAUUAUUGACCACGGGUCAAACGCUCUAAAAUCCCUAAAAGCUACCCGAUAGGUUAGGUCGUACUAAAGUCGCGUUCGGUCAAUUUUAACCAUGUAAUUAAAUUCGGUUUCAAGAAUUGGACGUUUGAGCGUGUCACAAUUCAUUUAUAAGAUGUCGUCUCACCUUUCGGCGAAUUUUCUUCAAGUCUGAAAUUUUAAGGAAAAAUGAAUUUCAGACAAAAAAAAUUAAAAAGGGAAAUUCGGAUGGUUGAAAAAUAAGGUUUUUCCACCCUAUUUUGGCUUAUGUUUGAAGAAAUUAGAGCAAAUUCCUAAUUUGGUAGAGCAAUGGACUUUGUGGCAUGAGGACUUUUGUGAUUUGGUGAUGAUGAGAAGAUAUUUCUCCCAAGCUUCUCAUUCGUUAAACCAUGGACUUCUUUGUUUUUCCCUUUUUCUUUCUCUCUCCCUCCCCCUCUCUCUCACACGUGAAAGCUUCCCCCCUUCCUUCUACCGAUUCCUUUUCCUCGGCCCACGUUCCUUUCUCCCCGACCUUUCUGCAUCUCCUUCCUUCUGCCGCCAAUCCUCAUCCAUCCUCAUUCCACCUUCACACCGUCCACUUCCCUUCAUGCCAUCACCACCACCUCCACGCCACAGCUGCAGCACCAUCCACUCGUGUCGUCACUGUCCAGCUCUACUUCCCCUCACGCCACAGCCACCAACUAGCUACCAGCUCACUCCAUCACCUCACCACCGAGUAGCCAAGAUACUGCAGCUUCACCACCUCAGCCAGCAACCACCAGUGGCUUCAGCUCCACCGUCCAGCUACCUUCACUGAGCUGCCCAUCUUCACGCCACAAGAAGGACCAACCCAAGCCAGAACCAGCUCCUCUUGGUCGUGAGCUGGUAGGGCCAUCACGGCCGUCGGUUGAGCUCUAUUUGAGACACGAUUGUCUCGAGUUUUCACCAUUGUCGCGUUGUCGUCGCCGUGAGCCCGCCACCGUUUAAAUCCGGUGAGUUAACUCCCUAAUCCUUGAUUAGGUUGUUAUUUGCACUUAAGGGAUAUUUAGAUUAGUGCUAAUCAUGGUUAGAUUAGUGCUAAGAAGGAUUAGUGUUAAUUAAGUUGGAUUAGUUUAACUUCAGAUCUAUUUACUGGACACUCGCAGUUUGCUAUUUUCGUAGGUUAAAAUAUGCUACAAUUUUAAGGUUGCUUCCCACUUAAAAAAUAUUCUAAACAUCUUUAUUUAUGACAUAUAUUUUACUCAAGAUUUUUGGGAUUUAAAGGAAUGAGAUUUCAACUUUGUCAUGAGCAAGGCAUAAUCUCGGUUUGUACUAGAACCAGUGACCUUUCGGUAUUUAAAUGAUUUUUAUCAACUCUUAGGGUUUGAUUUUCGAAAUAUUUGCUUCACCAAAGUUUUUCCUCACAUCUUGAAGUUUUGCAUAACUAAAUUUUAGAACAAACGGACGAGUUUUGGACCUUAAACCAAACUAAAACAAAAUUUCUGAACAUGGACACAGUUAUUGUAACGAUUUGGGCGAAUUAUUGCUCUUAUUCUAGAAAGAUCUGAGUCAAGGUGGUGUCUUCAUGAAAAGUGUUUGUUUAAGUGUCCUUUAUAACAUAUUUGAAUUUGGGAAUUUUCUGAACUCGUUUGGUUAUAUUUCUAGAAUUAAUCUUGUAGACAUGCGAGUGAACCCGAAUUCUACCGGUAAGGGCCGGUUGUGAUUUUGUGGUUGUUCUUGGUGUCUUGCUUGUUGGGAAGUGCAUAUUAUGUGAUUUGAUUAAUGUUUGGCAUGGUGAGAACUUAUGUGUGAUAUUUUGAGAUUGAUUGCUCUAUGUUGGUUCCGAUUUUUAUUGCAAAAGUUGGCCUUAUGAGCAAUGAAAUAGAAAAACAAUGAGGUGUCGGGUUUGGACACCAAAACUUAUUUGCUCAACAAAACAAUGAGGUUUUAAUCUAGGUGUGUGCAAAGUUUGAUGGAUUAAUUUUGAGUACGAGAGUACCUACAAUUUUCUUUCCAAAAGUUUUAAAGAAAAGAAAAAAGGGAGUUACUAAAGAUUGUUUCCAAAAAGGGUGGUUGGACAAAAAAAUAUAAAAGAAAUAUGGUGUCGGGUUUGGACGCCAAGUUUUACAUGCUCAAUAAACCGUGAGGUUUCAGACUAGAUGUGUGCAAAGUUUGGUGGAUUGAUUUCAAAUACGUGACUCCGUACGAAUUUAUUUCUGAAAGUUUUCAAAAAAAAAAAAAAAGAGUUGCAAGGUUUAUUAUUUGAAAAGGGAUUUUGGUGUUCUUGGCUAAUGAGGAAGAUAACAAUGGACUUGAGUGAUGGUAUGCUCGUGUGAUCACCUAAAUACCUUGAUGCGUAUGAAUAUGCGGGGUAAUGAACCCAUCCUGAUGCAUAUAAAUAUGCGGGAUGAUGCCAGAUUAAGUUCGUAAGCCCCCAUGUCAACAGGAUGCCAAGUCACGGUUGAAGCUGAAUCGAUGCUCUUUUAUGGAAUGUUGUCCUGAGGCGUAUGAGCACGUGGGAUGAUGUCUUGCCCGAUGGGGCAGGACAAUGCCCAGUUACGCCAGAUGACCACUGACUUUCAAGUUGGCCGUGGCCGAUAGGUCGUAAUAAUCGAAACACGCCUGAAUGGUUGUGCUAUUGCACUUGAUUAUGGGGAAAAAUUGUAUGGCACAGUAUGUGACGUGUCAUAAUGGUUUUACCAUAUAAUCAAGACCCAUAUGAUUGUUUAAAGGAUGAGAAUGAUGUGUUCCAAUUAUUAAUUGCGCUUGUGAUAUUUAUAAUGGCAUAUAUGAUGCGCUAAUAUGCAAGGACAUGCCUAGGCGAGGUGAGUUUUGUAUGGUGCGUGUUUAGGACCGCCUUUGAGGUGAAUUUGCGUCCUAAUUGGGGUUUAGGUUGUUGACUCGCUAAGAUUUUAAUUCAUCCCGUCGUGAUUAACAUUUUUCAGAGCCGUGGCGUGGAGAUCUGCUAAUUUUGGAUGUGGUGGGUGCAAGAUGCGACACCUUUUGGCUGGCCUUGUCGCUAGUGAAGUUUAGGUUGAACCUUAGUCCCUGAAGGUUUUUGAGAGGUUGAUAGGAAGUGGCAGUGGAAAGGCUUGUAAGUAUUAAAUUUCCUAGAGUUAACAGUGAAUAAAUAAAUAAGUUAAUUUUGGCAAUGUUUGCCGUGUUUUACUAUCCCUAUGUUUGUUUGGUGGCCGGGUAUUUAUUUAAUUUGUUUUCACAUGUGCUUAAUUGAAAGAUAAAAAUAAUGGGUCGGCGAUGCGUCUUGAGACAUCGCAUUUUUAAUCGACCGCCAAGGGAUGUGCGCGUGCCCAGGGUUCGGGGCGUAACAACAAUAGUAAGUAAACAUUCAUAGAGAUAUUAGUCACAGAGUGUGUAUUACUAUCCAAUGCAAUAGAGUUAGAAAUUUAUGACAAGGCUAUAUCGUGUGAUCAAAAAAAUGAGUGACAUGAAGUCAUGCAAAAGGAGCUUAAAUCCUUCCAUAAGAAUCACAUAUUUGAAUUGAUAAAGUUGCCUAAAAUAAAAGAACACUAAAAAAUAAGUGGGUGUGCAAGUUAAAGACGGAAGAAAACAAUUUGCAACCUUGAUUCAAGGCGAGGUCUAUUGUGAGGGGCUUUCAUCAAAAGAAAGGAAUUGGCUUUAAAGAGAUCAUUUUACCAGUUGUUAAAAUGUCUUAUAUUCGAGUUGUUCUUGGGUUGGAACUAGUUUGGAUUUAGAAAUCAAAUAACUUGAUGUAAAGAUAGUCUUUUCUUUGUCCACUUAAACGAAGAAAUAUAUAUGGAGCAAUAAAAGAGUUUAUAUUUGAAGGGAAUGAGCAUAUUGUAUGUAGAUUGAGGAAAAGCUUAUAUGGUGUCAAGCAAGCACCAAAAUAAUGGUACAUGAAGUUUAAAUUAUUUAUGAAAGAUCAAGGAUACGGUAAGACCAACUAUGAUUCUUGUGUCUUUAUAAAUAGAUUCUUAGAUAAUAAUUUUACUCUAUGUGGAUGAUAUGUUGAUCUUGGGCAUGAUGCCAAGAAAAUCAUGAAUUAAAAAAAUGAAUUGAGUAUAGUUUUUCAAUGAAAGAUUUGGGACUGACUAAGAAACUUUAGGUAUGAGAAUUACUCGUGAAAGGAAAAAUGGGAAAUUUUGAUUAUCUCAAGAGAAGUACAUUCAAACAUUAAUGUGUUGUUUUCGUUUUCGUCACCUUAUUUUGAAAGAUUCUACGGGAGCAAUUGUAAACCUAUAAAUACUUUACUUGCUGGCCAUUUCAAGUUGAGUAGUAAAGGUAUCCUACAAGUGAUAAAGAGAAGAAAGAGAUGAUGAAAAUUCAUUAUACAUUAGCUAUGGGUAAUUUGAUGUAUGUCAUGAUUUGUACAAGACCAGAUAGUGCUCAUACAAUUACUAUUGUGAGCAGGUUUCUCCCAAAUCCAAGUAAAGAGUAUUAGGCUACUAUUAAAUGGAUUUUGAGGUAUCUUAGAGAUAAUUCCAGAUUCUGCUUGUGUUAUGGCAAUGGAAAGUUUUAGUUGUGUGGCUACUCAUAUGCAAACUAUACCAGUUGCAAUCAAAAUUGCAAAAAAGUGUUGUUUUGUCUACAUCUAAAGCAAAGUAUUCACUAUCACCAAAGGAGGAAAUGAACUCUUGUGGAUGUAAAAAUUUCUACGUGAGCUAGCGUUGAAGCAAGACAAGGUUGUUAUGUAUUGUAAUAGCAUGAGUGCUAUCUAUCUUAGCAAAAAUGCAGUGUUAUAUUCAAGAUCGAAGCAUAUUGAUGUGAAUUGUCAUUGGAUCCAAGAGAAAUUUAAAAAGAAACUCUUCCUACUUAGGAAAGUCAACACAAUAAGAAUGGAUUCGAUAUGACGACCAAACUUUAUCCAUAAUGAAACUUGACUCUUGUAGAAACAAAGUAGGCAUGAUGGAACUUCCCAUGUAAGGUGAAUGUGGUGAUUUGUUGGUUGGAUCCGCCUAUAUGGGGCACAGCUAACACAUGAACAAAACAAAAAGAAGAGUAAAAAAAGCAAAAAGAAUAAAUGAAAGCGGGGUUGUGACACCCUAAGAUUUUCCAUUAUGUUUUCAAUAGAAUACAUCAGGCCUUUCAUCAACGCACCUAUAGUGCUCUUCUCAAAGCUAAUCACUCCUGAGAUAACUAGACUAUCUGGGGAAGUCUUUAAGAGAUUUUAAUGCAAUAGAUUUGAGAAUUCGAUCGGGAAUCGACUACUCGACCGUGCUCAUCUGCAGAGAUCAUUACGGCAUAAUUAAAAAUCGAUUAAGGAUUAAAAGAUAGGUCGGUUCGACUGAGAUGUGUGGCUAAACAUGGGUGAUUCCAUCAAAUUGCAAAAUUCUCGUCGAUUGGUACUAGAUUGAUUUUUCUGUCGUUUUGGUACCCUGUGUCUGCAUUCGAAACCUUGAGAAUUUCAUGACCACCGAGAGUCGCCAAUGUGUUGAAGAAGUUCAUUGUGGCUUGAAGAAAAUCGACCAUGGGUCAUUUGCACUAAAUUUUUUUUAAAGCUACCCGGUAAACUAGGUCAUGCUAAAAUCGCACUAGAUUGAAAUUAAUUGCGAAUUUGAAUCUGAUUUCAGAAAUUGAAAGUUUUGUCAUGUCACGAGUCAUUUUAGGAACGUCGACUCAUUCUCCGAAGAUUUUUCUACAAACCAAGAUUUUCGGCAAAAAGUCAAAAUAGGGUCGAGUUUGUUCGGAAAAUUCAAAAGAUUGUUUUUUAUUGCAAAAUUGGGAUGCAAGUAGGUUCUAUUGGUGAGGAAAAAUGUCAAUUUGAUCGAGGACUUGAUGGUGGAAUUUAUGGGAGCCGAAUUGAUUUAAUUCAAGUGGAAAUUUGGUUCAAUUUAGAUGAAGACCCUUCAAAAUUCGUAGCCCCCCAUGCCUCAACUCUUGGACCACCUCCAAGACUUCCUAAGCAAGCUAAGGACCUAGAAAAUUGCUGAGGAAGCCAGCCAAGUGGUGGGGUAUGGUCAAGGGGACAAAGGGAUGAGGACUGAGCCAAGGUGGCCCCCUCCAAAGGAGCUGUCCCUUUCUUCUUCCCCCUUGGUCAGCUUCUCCAUUUCCAGAGCAGAGGAGCUUUAGAAUUUGCAGAGAAAUCGAGCUUCCCUCCUCCCCAAACCAUCAAGCAGCUCGUUGAACCGCUAGAGCCCUACCGCGUUGCCGUCAUGCCCCGCAUGCCACUGCUCGUCCCACUCACGUCCAACCGUCCAUUGCUGGUCCUGCGGUCGGCUCACUAUUAGCACGUUCGUCGUCGUUUAAGUCUCCAGAGCCACCGUCCGCCUCCGCCUUAGCCACUGCAGCCGUUCGCCAACCUCUCGUGUCGUUUCCAGCCCAUUUGGUUGCUCAGCCCAGCCAUUUCGGUCUAAGAAUAAAACCAAAACCUAGUAGGAGGCUGUGGGCUUCGAGGCCUAUUUCCAAGCCUUCCCUGGCCUCAAAAGGUGCCACCGCUUUGGAGUUUAUCGCUCCUCUCCACCUCGCCAUCGCCGUGGUACCGUCAGAUUGCUAGUCCUGUGAGUUUACUCACUAAUCCCCAUUUAUGGAGUUAAUUAUACUUAAGAGUUUAUUAGUUUAGGCUAAGUAUGGUUUAUGUGGUUAGUUAGAAUGGGUUAGCAAUUUAAUCGUUUGAUAUUGCAUGUUAGGUGGUUAGAGUAGUGUAAUUAGCAAGUAGAUAAGUCGUAGUAUUUAUUUAAAUAGGUUCGAAAUUUUUUUCGGGCCCGUUUUGGUAUUUAAUUAGGCUUUUUCCAACCUAAGUGUGCAUUUUUGCUAUUUAUUGGUAUUUAUUAAUUAAUUUUUGUAAUUAUUUAAUUAAUUAUUAAUUUUUGAAAAUUAGACUGGGAUAAUCGGUGAUCAGAAUUUCGUGCUAAUUGCAAUGAUAUGAUUGGUUCAUUUAAUUGAGUGCUGGAUUGUGCAAAUUUAGUGUGAUUUGUAAUUUUGGGAAUUUAUCCCAAAAUUUAGUAAUUUCUAUAUUUAAUUAGAAAAUAACAAGCAUUGGUUUACAAUGCCAAAAAUGUGUUUAUGGAUCACUGAAAUUAGUGGGAUUUUCAAAAAGGAAAAUAUUGUAUUUUGGCUAAGGCCAACCGUGUACCCAUGCAUGAUUAUUUUUAUGAGGAAUGAUAAAAAUGGUGGCAUUCUUAGAUGGUGACAAUAAUAUACUAUAUUAGCCUAUGGGCUUUGAUAUGUUAGCUUAGCGUGAGCAGUAUACUUUAUCAGCUUAGAGUGAGCAUCAUGAGUAUACCAUAUUAGCCUGAGGGCUUUGAUAUGUCAACUUAAAGUAAGCAAUAUACCUUAGCAACUUCUGGUGAGCAUUAUCAGUAUACUAUAUCAGCUUGAGGGCUUUGAUAUGUUAGCUUAGAGUGAGCAGUAUACUUUAUCAGCUUAGAGCGAGCUAUACUAUCUAUCUUCAGCUUAGGGUUAGCAGUCCUUGAUGUGAUCAAACUUUAUAGAUAGUAUUGAAUGGAUUAACCAAGUGAUCUUCUUGAUGACAUGGAAUCGACUGGUUCGAUUGAUCGAUGGCUUGAUCGGAUUAAAUGAUUUCAAUUAUUGAAAUAAUUGGUUGAAUAUGCAAAUUGUACUAACUUGUAGGAAGAAACGGAGGCAAAAAUAAGGCUUCUAACUUGUGCUUGUGCUUAGGCAGCUUUUGGGGCAUAUUUUCUUCCUAGUCGGGACUUAAAGAGCGAACUUGCUAAGAUGUCAUCUCACCCCGUUAUGGGAUAUCAUUUUCAGGUCCCUAGAUGACAGUUGUAAAGGACCUGAAGUCCCGGAGUCUGGGAAGGUGGAGACCGGAGAAUUGGCGAACAUGUCUAACUAGUGGGUCAUAGGAUAGUUCCCUUUUUGUUGAGUUGAUAUUUUUGUAAACAGCUUGGUAUUGUAUAUAAACAUGUGUGUUUAUAAAAGGCUUGUUUUUGUAGUGAAUUGUUGCUCGCUUUUCUAUCACAUCUUGUUGUUGUCUGGGGAUUUAAUUGUUCGCUUCCGCGUGCACAUUAAAAUGAAUGGGUCAGUGAUGCGUCUUGGAACAUCACUAUUUAAUCGACCGCUGAGCGAUGGGCACGUGCUUGGAGGAUUGGGGCGUGACAGGGGCUGCUUGCUCAUGGACUGAAGAAGAGAGGAGAAAGAGAGAAUUCUUUACCAAGAGAUGACAAGGAGAAUAAAAAGGGGGGAGGGGGGCGGCUUUGUGGUCUUGAUUCAAAAACCAAAUGUUAUCAAAAUCGGCUCAAAUUUCAAUAUGUUGGUUGUGAGAUUGAGGGUUACGAGUUGAUCAAUUUCAUUCGUUGAGAUCCUUCUUCAAUUCUCCAAUUGCGAUUAGAGUUUUCUUGCUCCAUAUGUGUUAAUCCACCUCCAUGGUGAUGGAAAUGCUAUUGUAUUAUUGAUGUUGAGACUCUACUACUUGAUUAGAGAAGAACAUUUGUGUAUCCUACUAUUCUUCGUGAUUAGCGAAAUUUUUUGGGCAGUCCAUGGUUUUUCCCAUAUUGGUUUUCCACAUAAAAUCUUAGUGUUGAUGUUGGCUUGGUCUCAUUAUCAUUUCAACAUUAUAUUUACUUAUUUUGAGGUUGUAUUGUUGAGAAAUAAUGCUGAUUGUUGCUGGGUUAAGUCGAUUUUGGUUGGCUUAGUUUUGGGGAAGAUAUUGAUCUGAGAUUGGGUUUAACUCUUGAUGAUUUGUUGCCCAGUUCUCCCAACAUGUUGCGAUUUUGAUUAGUGUCACAAAAUGCUUACAUUACUUUCAUGGUUAAUGUAAUCCAUAUGGUAGAUCUUCCCUAGUGACGUGCACCAGAAGGAUUUGUUAGGUAAUUAAAUAAAAUAAGUUGCACGUUGAAUGCAAGGUUCACAUUGUUACUUCAACUAUUGUCAUAAGGUACUCAUGUUACUUUUAUUGCGCCUAUCCUAGACUAUAAAAGUGACGUGACGGAUCGAUGAUUUGGUGCAACGAACCCACCUAUGAUGCAAGUCAACCCAAGACUCAGAAAAAUAUCAUGUAGAAUUGUGGGCCUAAUGUCAAAAUUCACGAGUUUGGCAAAAUAAAAUGAAAAAUUCCAAGUACUUUGUGGUGCUUAUUACUCGUGUAAAAUGUCCUUCACAUGAUUUUUAUGUCAUGAAACCACCCAACCAUUGACUUUACACAAUUUUAUGCACAGUGUCCUUCUCUCGUUAUCAUCCUCGUGUGUGAAAAUGAUUUAUGAUACAGUAUAGUACUUCAGCAUACAUAAUGCGAAAUUAGAUCAAACGUGGAAGGAAUCUAAAAUUUCGAGUUAAAACCAUGUCUCCUAUUCAAACCAACUUUGGGGGUCAAAGCUCAAGUAAUGUAUAAUGUGCCUUGGAUAUUGCGUAUUUUUGUUUCAAAAAUCAAGUCAAAAGACUUAUAGUUAACGAUAAUAUUAGUUAAAGAAAAGUGAACCGCAUUGAGGCAAAUAAAGGAAAAAUAUUGUACUUUUAUCAAUUCAGUCAUAACCUUUCAAUUUUGUCAAUUCGGUCUUAAACAUUUAAUCGAUAUACCAGUUAAGUCCAUCCGGCCAAUUUUGGGUGGGAGUUGUCGAUGCGGACACCAAGCGUCCCACGUGGCAUGGCCGCUAUUAACGUAGAUGUUUUUUUAUAGUAUUUUUAUUAUUUGUUUGGCUUUUAAAUUUUUUUCUUUCCUUUCCUUUUUUUUUUUCUUGGUAUUUUAGGCUAAGACGAGCAAGGGUCGAUUGGCCACCUCGACUAUGGCCAACAAGAGUUGCCAACCAACCCUCACUGGCCAUAGGCAAGGGCCGUCGACCCUCUCCAACACUGUGUGUGGUCACUGACCCUCAAUCAAAAAAACAAAAACAAAAAGUCAACAAAAUGAAAGAAAAAAAAUAAGAUAAAAAAUUCAAAAAAAAAAUUGCAAUAUUAUUAAAACUAUACACAUUAGUGCCGGCCAUACCACAUAAAAUGGCCAAAGUCCACAUCAGUAAUUUAUAAUCAAAAUUGGUUGAACGGAUUGUCAAAAAGUUUAGAAAUUAAUUAGUAAAAUUAAAAUGUUUAUGACUUAAUUGACAAAAAUACAAUAGGUUUAGGAAUUUUUGAAUAAUUUUCCUUGGUAAACAAACUAAGCUAAAAAGGAGAAAUAAAUUGCAAGUGAAGAAACCACCUCAAGUAAUAAUGCAAUAGUCUUAACAUGAUGACAAUAACAUGUAUAUAAUUUUCGCAAGUAAAAGGAAUGAAGCAAUCAUAAUUAUUAGUAUUCCUAUUGUGUACGAAAUGUUGUAGAAAAGUGUUGGAGAAUGUGAAGUAUAAGAACAAAUAUUUGAGGCGUGUAAGCAUUGUUCUUAAAGAUAAUUCUAUCAUUCGAAGUACAAAUUCAGUUUGUAAGGCUCUAGCAGCUAUCUUCUCAAAAUACAAUAGAUUUUCCUCUAUACUCCAAAUAGAGGAAACAAGAACAACAACAUUAUACGUAAAAAUCAGCUAACGGGUGGAAAUAAAAAAGAGAAUUUCUUAAUUUGGUAAAUUUUUAUUAUGAUUUGUAAAUUCUCUUUAUAGACAAAUACAGGAGAGGGUUAUCAAAGAAAUAAAUGAAAUCAAAUGUUACAAAGUCAUUACAAAUCGAUUGCGUUCAUACUUUUCAUUAAAGCCAUUACAAAAUAAAUGGUUUAAAACUGUUGAAAUUUGCAAUCCCCUACAUAUUUUAAAGAAGGUUUUAAACAGAGACCGGAAUAUUUGGUUAAACUUUGAAUUAUACCAAUUUAAUCCUAAAUUUUUUGACAAAUUGCCAAUUUAGUCAUUUCAACCAAUUUUGGCUAAGAAAUGCUGAAGUGGACAAUUUCUUUAAAACAAAUUUUAUUGAUAUCUUUUUUAUUCACUGAUUAAGCCCUGUCGGCCGUCGCUGGCCUUUGAAGGAGGGCAAGUAUGAACCAAAACAUGAGCUAAGUGGCUAAAAAGGGCAUAGAUUCUUCUCUUUAGAUUAACCAAACUAGGAAUAGUAACCCCACCAAUAAACCAUACACGUCAGCUGAUUUUUGUUCACCUUGUUUACAGCCCCAAGGAAAAAGAUCUCCUGAAUCCUGACUAGAAAUUCUAUAUCUGUUACUAAUUUUAGUUCGCUGGCUUUUAGUUUACCCAAAAGCUGCUUGCUGAGAAAAAUGUGCGGAAGAUAAUGGUUUUAUGAUUUAAGUCAAACGCAAGUGAACAAAAUUACAAAACAAAUUGACGAGAAGUAAUACAAAACACAAGAGAUUUACGUAAUUCUAUUCAAAUAUUGAAGCCUACUCUACGAGCAGAACAAACCACGAAUAAGUCACUAAUUAAUAGGAGAGUUACAAGGUUGUAGUCGCUUGUACACUCAAAUGUUUUGCACUCCUACGUUACCCUCAACCCACAUUGUUUAGCCUCGCGAAAAUAUGUCUCUGUUGGAUGUAGGAUUCUCCAUUCAAAAAUCACCGUGUCCUGAGAGCUCUUGUCGCGGCUAAGAACCCAGAGCUACUCUUUCGCUUUUGUACUUUCUUAUACUGAGCUCCUCUCUUGUUGCAAUUAUGAAAAGGGAGCUCUCCUUGCAGCUAGAGAGCCUGACUAGUGACGUGGGAGCCAUCAUUGUGUAGUUAACAGAAUGAGUCGAAUGAGAACCACCCAAAUGCUUUUUCGUCAUCUUCUCUCGCAUCUCACCAACUCCAAUUUCAGUUGAAAAGGAAGCUCCAAUGCGUGGCCAAAUGAGAGCUGCAAUGUGUGGCCAAAUCCUAAAACACGAAAAGGAACCACAAGGAAAGACAUUUUGGGAUUUCUUUCCUCACAUAGUUGGUGAAGAUAUUCUGACCAACUUUGAUGCCUCUGUCACAAAUUCCGAAAUCGGGUCUAUAUCCUUCAAUGCGGAUCAGGUCUAUAUCCUUCAAUGCGGAUCGGGUCUUGUGCACGGAUUCAAACUUGAGACAUAUAUUCUAGCACCGCCACUACUGUGAAUCUUUGCAGGCAGGCUGCAGCAGUGAGGCUCAUGAGUAAGAGGAACUGGUCCCUGCUUGCUUUGGAUCUACCAGUAACACAUCCUUUAUUUGUCUGCGGUCCAACACUUUAAUAGUGGAGAUUCGUAUUAACCACCUUUUGAAUCAAUCCGUUUACUCCUGUAAAACGAGGAAAACACAAAUAUCUAUGAACUACAAGAAUUCUAGCGUUAAAUAACCUCUUUGCUUUUAGUCCAGUUAUUCAAAAAAUGCAAAAUUUAUUAAUCUUAGAUUUUACCAAAACAACUUUCCUUUUUAAUCGGAAAUCUUAGUUUUCGAAGCUUUGAAUCUCUGCACCCGUAACAAGGGCACGAAUGACCCGAUUGAAAGCAGUCUGUCUGUAUAGAACCAAGGCACGAAUUUUAAGGGCUAAUCAUGACAAAAAAGUUAGGCUUGAGUGAAAGCUUUGAAUCUUUGCUCUAUUUCAACUUGGUUUCACUUCUUUUGAUGCAAAAGAUGAAUCUAAAUCUUUCCGUCGUAAGUACUUAUCAUGCUCUUAUCUCUGUUGCAAUGAUCACCACAGGAUUUUUUUUGUUGCCCGUACCGAAACCACUUCAAGUACUCUAGAGUGGGCAAUGGCUGAGCUGCUUUGCAACUCAGAGAAGCUAUCAAAAGCCCAAACUGAGCUCCAUAAAGUCAUUGGUAAAGGUAACCAAAUGGAGGAAGUCGAUGUACCUCGCUUUCCGUAUGACAAGCUAUCAUAAAAGAAACUUUCCGACUUCACCCACCAUUUCCACUUCUUCUACCACGCAAGUCUGAAGCCGACACACAAAUAGGCGGUUUCACCAUUCCAAAUGGUACACAAGUUCUUAUCAACGCAUGGGCUAUAGGAAGAGAUCCUAGCAUUUGGGUCAAUCCAAAUGAGAUUGUGUGGCAUCCUAGAAUUUCAUGAAAAUCCCUAAGUAUGCCAUGAGCCAUGGAUAGACGAUGUAAACACCGUUAUUGUAUUUUUGUAGCCUUUUGAUCCAUGAUUCGCAAUGAGAAUUAUGGCCAAGCUUUUAAUGGAUAAAUUUUGGGAAAGAAAGUUCUAUCUUUAGCCAUAUAUAUAUUAUAAAUUGGAACUUAUGGAUUUAUGAUUGCAAGUGUAUAGCCAUUUAAUUUGCAAUUUAGUACUUUGACUUAAUAGGGAUUUAGUUAGUUUUUAAAAUGGUCAAUUCUAGAUUUAUUUAAGCUUGGGUCUUAGGCCCAAGAGUGUUGGGCCUAAGAUGGGCCUUAAUGGCCUGCCCAUAAGCCCAUGAAGGGCUGUUGUCGCACGAAGGAGGGGGGGUGGAGUCCGGUUUGCAUGCCUCCCCCCAUUUGUCCCAUGGUGAUGGCCAAGUGUCACCCCAUGCAAAAGGUGAUGAUGGCUAAUGAUAAGGAAAGGAAAUUAGGGGGAAAAGGGUGGCCGGUUUAAGCGAGAGAGAGGGAGAGAGAGAGGAGGGUUCGUCCGAGAGAGAGAGAGAGGAGAGAAAGAGAAGGAAGAAAGGAAGAAAGGAAGAAGGGAAGAAGGAAAGAGGAGGGGCCGUGCAUCGCCAUCCGUCGCCGCCGUGUGCUCACCGUUGCUCGGUCUAGAGGCAAGUGGGAUCCCUUGAUCUACUCUUGCAUGCUAUGCUUAGUGUGUGUGAUCGAAUGGUAAUAAUUUCGGAUGUAUAGAAUGUGAAAAUUUGAAGUUAUAAGAGUGGUGCUCUAGUCUAGUGUACUGUUCUUGAGAAAAACAGCUCGACCUUGGAUGUUCUAGUGACUUGCAUGUGAUGUUCUAGUUGAAUUUUUGCUUUGACCUCUAUAUGAAAUUUGUAAAGGACUUCUUGGAGUAUAACAUACUCAAAUUUGGGACAAAAAAAACAAGUAUAAGUGGGUGAAAUCAUUAUUCUUUGGAAAGACUGGAUCUGGAAAUUUCGGUACUAGAAACAGAAGUUUUAACCGCCUAUAUUUAAUUACCUAGGAUGAAUAUGACUUUGAUUGCUUCAUGAAUUAUUUACCUUAUGGUCUUGGCUAUCACAUAGUCGAAUUUCAUAAUUUUUGAAUGUCAUUUGGGUAUUUAAUCGAAAAUGUUUCUAAAACUGUGCAAUCUGAUGCGUUCGGACUUGGUAAUGUUGCAAUGCGUGGUCUAUACCGUUUUGUAUGAGAUUAUUUUGGAAAAGUGUUCUGCAGUAAACAUCUUUAAUUAUGUCUUGCCUACAACAUAUUCAAAUUUCGUAAUUUUUGAAAUGCAUUUCCCUAUUUAACCAAAAAAAUGUUUCAAAAACUGUGCAAGUGGAACAGACAUAAUUAGUAGUGCUGUGAUGCGUGGUAUGUAUUGAACUAUAUGGGGAUCUUUUGGUGUAGUGUUCUUCAUGAAGUAUCUACCUUUAUGUCUUGACUAUCACUUGUUCGAAUUUCAUAAUUUUUGAAUGUCAUUUGGGUAUUUAAUGAAAAUGCUUUCUAAAACUAUGCUAGCUGGAUUGUGCAAAUUUCAAAAGCUGAAAUUGACCUUGUUGCCAUCACAUCAUGUGCCAUGUUAAUAUUGAGACACAAUUGUGAACCUGAAUUGUGAUAAAUGAGGAUGCCGUCGGAGGUGUGAGCCGACGAUGCCUUGAGAGUUUCGAGAUGCCCAGAAUGUGUGUGCCAGAUGUCCUCGGGAGUUUCGAGAUGCUUGAAGUGUGUGUGCUGGAUGCCCGGAAGUGUGUGCCGGAUGUCCUCGGGAUUUUUGAGAUGCCCAGAGUGUGUGUGCCGGAUGCCCGGAGGUGUGUGCCGGAUGUCCUCGGGAGUUUCGAGAUGCCCGGAGUGUGUGUGCCAGAUGCCUGGAGGUGUGUGCCGAAGGUUCCUCGCGAUGCCAGGUUGGGUGCGAGCGAUAAAAUGUGGGAUGCAAUUACUAGUCCCGGGAAAGAAAAAAUAUGGCGAUCCAAUUGAAAAACAAGAGCUAAAAUUGAAUCAUGCAUAGUGUGGUGACAUGUAUGCUUGGCUGUAUGAUGUAAUAUGUAUAAGUGCAUGGUGGUAUGUGCAUAUGGUAUGGUGACAUGUAUGCAUGGCGGUAUGAUGUAAUAUGUAUAAGUGCAUGGUGGUAUAUGCACAUAGUAUGGUAACAUGUAUGCAUGGCUGUAUGAUGUAACAUGUAUAAGUGCAUGGUGGCAUGUGCAUAUACCACCAAUGCACUUGUACAUAUAACAUCAUAUAGUCAUGCAUACAUGUGACCAUACCAUGUUAGACUGAGGAGGCGGAACAUUGGAUUGAUGGGAUAGAACAUAUUUUCUGGUUGUUAGACUGUAAUGAUGCUAAGAAAAUUGUUUUGGCAGAAUAUCAGCUGGAGGAAAAUGCAAAGUUUUGGUGGAGAGCUUCGAGGAAUACGAUUUUUCCACCAGGUAUUGAUGUGAACUGGGAUGAGUUUGUUAGAGCUUUUAAUAGGAAGCAUUUCUCUGAUUGUGCUAAGGAUAGGAAGAUCACUAAAUUCGUUCAAUUGGAACAAAGAGAGCUGACAGUGGAUCAGUAUGAGGCAAAAUUUUCUGAACUGUCUAGGUAUGCUCCCAGAUUGAUUGAGGAUCGUAAGGAAAAAGCUAAGAGAUUUCUGAAAUGAUUAAGGACUAAUAUUAGAAAACAACUAGUGCCUCUGAAUAUAAUGGAUUAUAAUGAGAUUUAUGAGGAGGCACAGUUGGUGGAGCAAGAGUUAGUGAGGGAGCAAUCAAAAUCUAAGAGGCAGAUGACCUUUAAUGAUAUUCGAAGGGGUAAGAGACCUUAUCCUGAUCAAGGUCAGCCUUGGGAACCUAAAAAAAAGAAUAACUUUGGAAAUUUUAGAAGAGCUUGGAAUGGCUCGACUUUUGGGAGAGUACCCUACCAGGGUAAUUUUUGCUAGAGAUGUGGUAGACAACAUGGGCCAAGACCUUGUAAUAGCCAACUGAGAUGUAAUGGAUGUGGGCAAAUAGGACACUUUAAGAGAAAUUGUCCACGUGAUGGGUCGCAGCCGAAUGUCAACUCGGUGCGACAAGUGCAACAACGUACUGCUGGACCAAACCUACCAAGGAAUCCACAGAGGCCACCAGCACAAGGAAGGGUGUAUGCGGUCACCCAAGAGGAAGCGAAAGCUUCCGAAAAUGUUAUCUUAGGUACGAUUUCGAUAAAGGGAUAAAAAGGUAUAUGCGUUAUUUGAUAUGAGUGGCACGCAUUCAUUUGUGUCCAAAAAUAUAGAUGAUUGUAAGAAAUAAGAACAAAUCUUUAGAUAUGCCUCUUCGUAUUUCUACAUCACUGAAGGACAUGUUGUUAUCUACGCUAGCAUGUGAGAUGAGUGAGUUAACCCUAAGGAAACGAGAUAUGGAGAUGGACUUGGUAGUGAUAGUUAUGUAUAAUUUUGAUGUCAUCGUAAGAAUGAACUAGCUCCGUAAGCAAUGGACUAGGAUGAAUGAUCUCCUGAGAUAGUACUUACCCGUGCGCUAAGGAUAAAACCAUGAGGCUAAGAAUGGGAUAGGCCAAAGCAGAUAAUAUCUCUGUAAGUAAGUCCCUAUCGAAACGAGACCCUCCAAUGGAUGUGUAGUUUGAGUUCGAACCAGGCAAAAACUGGUGUACCUGUAACAACCCGGUUUGAUGAGGGCGGCGAGUGGACGCCGACGUCAGAGGACCUGAACAAGGAGCGGCUCCUAGCAGGCUUCUAGGAUGGCAAAAGGGGGCAUGAAUGAACCGAACUAUGAACUGAACUGGGAAGGCAAUGUUUCUAGGAUAAUUUUAUCAGAGUGGCGUAGCGGAAGCAUGGUUAAGCUUGUAGAACUUUUGUUUGUGGAAAAGAAGGACGGGUUGAUGCGUUUGUGCAUCGAUAAUAGGCAAUUGAAUCAUGUGAUUGUUAAGAGUAAAUACUCAUUACCUAGAAUUGAUGACCUAUUUGACCAAUUGCAAGGAAGUUCAGCCUGUUAAAAAAAAAAAAAAAAUUGACUUGAGGACGUGAUACCAUCAACCGAGGAUUAAGAAAGAAGACAUUCUUAAGACUGCAUUUAGGACUCGCUAUGAACACUAUGAGUUCCUAGUUAUGCUAUUUGGAUUGAGGAAUGCCUUAACCGCAUUCAUGGAUUUAAUUAAUAGGAUAUUUAAGCCUUAUUUGGAUCAAAUUGUGAUUGUCUUCAUUUAAUGAUAUCCUGAUAUAUUCUAAAGGACCUGAAGAGCAUGCGCAACAUCUAAGCAUAGUGCUGCAAAACAAGGCUUAAGAAGUGAAUUAUGGAGAGUAAGUUAUGAAUUUGAGGAUUAAGUUAUGAUCAUUUGAGCUAAGUAGUGACUUCCUAUUAGAGGAUCUCAUUGGAAAUCUUGAUGCAUUACAUGGAGGCAUUUAGUAUGUAUAGAUUGAUCUUGGAAGUCAUGAGUUUGAGUGGUCAUAUGAGAUAUGAAAUUAUUUGUGGUUUAUAUGUCUGAAUAAUAGGUUUAAUUGAUGAUGGUCAACUUUUAAUUUUGGUAAUGAUCUCAGUUUGAAAAGGUUUGGUGGAAUUAGUGGAUAUGAUCAAUUGUGGCUAUAGUCUUUCCAAGGUGAAAAGGUGAAAGUUCAAGUUGUGGAUUUGAUGAGUGAUUAGUCCAAGUGAUGAUCCUUUAGGGGGAGACGUAAGAUAUACUUGAUGGAAACUAGACAAGUUUCAUUUUGGUGGAUUGUCGAUCUUUGAAUUGAAUAAGUCUUGGUGGACUAUCGAUAUUUGAACUGAAUGAAUGGUAUUAUAUUUUAGGCUUGAAUCUAUGUUGCAAUGAAAGCGUAGUGAAUGUCUUUGUUGGACCGAACCAAAUGAGUUAUUGGUGGUGUCGAUUUUGAUGGUUCUAGGCUUGAAUUGAUGGUGACAAAGGAAUAGGAAUAAUUUGGCUAAAUGGUGUGUUAGAUUGAAACCGUUAGAUAUACCAGAAUGGAAAUGGGAUCAUGUGAUGAUGGAUUUCGUGCGAGGAUUACCAAGGACAUUAAGUGGUCAAGACUCUAUCUAGGUGAUAGUAGAUCGCUUGACUAAGUCUACCAAUUUCCUAGCAGUUCGCAUAGAUUAUCCGAUGGAUAAAUUUGCUGAUUAUGUAUAAGCCAAGUGGUACGCUUACAUGGUGUUCCUGUAACAAUCACAUCGAAUCGAUACUCAAGAUUUACUUCCAACCUUUGGCGAAGUUUUCAAACCACCUUAGGGACGAAGUUCCCAAUUUAGUACUGCUUUUCAUCCACAGACGGAUGGACAAACGAAAAGAGUGAUCCAAGCAUUAGAGGACAUGUUAAGAGCUUGCACCCUUGACUUUAAAGGAAGUUGGGAUGAAAAGUUAUACUUGGUAGAAUUUGUGUAUAACAAUAGCUUUCAGAAAAGUGUAGGCAUGGCUGAGGAAGUAUCAGCCAGACCCUGGUCACAUACUCGAUCAUGAAGCUAUUAAAGUGGAUGAGGAAGUGAGGUACAUUGAGGAGCCUGUGCAAGUGCUGGAUUGAAAGGAACAAGUCCUACGAACGAAGAAAAUACCAUUGGUUAAGAUAUUAUGGCGACAUCAUGAUGUGGAGGAAGCCACAUGGGAAAGUAAAAAGGAAAUGAGGGAAAGGUACUCUCACUUAUUUCAAGAGACAUAGGAAAUGACCCAUUUCGAGGACGAAAUUCUCUAAGGAGGGGAGAAUUGUGGCAUCCUAGAAUUUCAUGAAAAUCCCUAAGUAUGCCAUGAGCCAUGGAUAGAAGAUGGAAACACCGUUAUUGUAUUUUUGUAGCCUUUUGAUCCAUGAUUCGCAAUGAGAUUUAUGGCCAAGCUUUUAAUGGAUAAAUUUUGGGAAAGAAAGUUCUAUCUUUGGCUAUAUGUAUUAUAAAUUGGAACUUAUGGAUUUAUGAUUGCAAGUGUAUAGCCAUUUAAUUUGCAAUUUAGUACUUUGAUUUAAUAGGGAUUUAGUUAGUUUUUAAAAGGGUCAAUUCUGGAUUUAUUUAAGCUUGGGUCUUAGGCCCAAGAGUGUUGGGCCUAAGAUGGGCCUUAAUGGCUGACCCAUAAGCCCAUGAAGGGCUGUUGUUGCAAGAAGGAGGGGGGGGGGGAGAGUCCGGUUUACAUGCCUCCCCCCAUUUGUCCCAUGGUGAUGGCCAAGUGUUACCCCAUGGAAAAGGUGAUGAUGGCUAAUGAUCAAGGAAAGGAAUUUAGGGGGGAAAGGGUGGCUGGUUUAAGUGAGAGAGGGGGAGAGAGAGAGGAGAGAAAGAGAAGGAAGAAAGGAAGAAAGGAAGAAGGGAAGAAGGAAGGAGGAGGGGCUGUGCAUCGCCGUCUAUCACCGCUGUGUGCUCGCCGUUGCUCGGUCUAGAGGCAAGUGGGAUCCCUUGAUCUACUCUUACAUGUUGUGCUUAGUGUGUGUGUGAUUGAAUGGUAAUAAUUUUGGAUGUAUAGAAUGUGAAAAUUUGAAGUUAUAAGAGUGGUGCUCUAGUCUAGUGUACUGUUCUUGAGAAAAACAGCUCAACCUUGGAUGUUCUAGUGACUUGCAUGUGAUGUUUUAGUUGAAUUUUGGCUUUGACCUCUAUAUGAAAUUUGUAAAGGACUCAUGGAGUAUAACAUACUCAAAUUUGGGACAAAAAAACAAGUAUAAGUGGGUGAAAUCAUUAUUCUUUGGAAAGACUGGAUCUGGAAAUUUCGGUACUAGAAACAGAAGUUUUAACCGCCUAUAUUUAAUUACCUAGGACGAAUAUGACUUUGAUGCCUGCAUGAAGUAUUUAAAUUAUGGUCUUGGCUAUCACAUAGUAUAAUUUCAUAAUUUUUGAAUGUCAUUUGGGUAUUUAAUCAAAAAUGUUUCUAAAACUAUGCAAUUUGAUGCGUUCGGAUUUGGUAAUGUUGUAAUGCGUGGUCUAUACCGUUUUGUAUGAGAUUAUUUUGGAAAAGUGUUCUGCAUGAAAUAUCUCUAGUUAUGUCUUGCCUAAAAAAUAUUCAAAUUUCGUAAUUUUUGAAGUUCAUUUCCCUAUUUAACCAAAAAAAUGUUUCAAAAACUGUGCAAGUGGAACGGACAAAAUUAGUAGUGCUGUGAUGCGUGGUCUGUAUUGAACUAUAUGGGGAUAUUUUGGUGUUGUGUUCUUCAUGAAGUAUCUGCCUUUAUGUCUUGACUAUCACAUGUUCGAAUUUCAUAAUUUUUGAAUGUCAUUUGGGUAUUUAAUGAAAAUGUUUUCUAAAACUGUGCUAGCUAGAUUGUGCAAAUUUCAAAAGCUGAAAUUGACCUUGUUGCCAUCACAUCAUAUGCCAUGUUAAUAUUGAGACACAAUUGUGAACCUGAAUUGUGAUAAAUGAGGAUGCCGUCGGAGGUGUGAGCCGACGAUACCUUGGGAGUUUCGAGAUGCCCGGAGUGUGUGUGCUGGAUGCACGGAGGUGUGUGCCGGAUGUCCUCAGGAGUUUCGAGAUGCCUGGAGUGUGUCUGCCGGAUGCCCGAAGGUGUGUGCUGGAUAUCCUCGGGAGUUUCGAGAUGCCCGGAGGUGUGUGCCGGAUGUCCUCGGGAGUUUCGAGAUGCCCGGAGUGUGUAUGCCAGAUGCCCGGAGGUGUGUGCUAGAGGUUCCUCAUGAUGCUAGGUUGGGUGCGAGCGAUAAAAUGUGUGAUGCAAUUACUGGUCCUGGGAAAGAAAAAAUGUGGCGAUCCAAUUGAAAAACAAGCGUUGAAAUUGAAUCAUGCAUAGUAUGGUGACCUGUAUGCAUGGCUGUAUGGUGUAAUAUGUAUAAGUGCAUGGUGGUAUGUGCACAUGGUAUGGUGACAUGUAUGCAUGGCUGUAUGAUGUAACAUGUAUAAGUGCAUGGUGGCAUGUGCACAUGGUAUGGUGACAUGUAUACAUGACUGUAUGAUGUUAUAUGUACAAGUUCAUUGGUGGUAUAUGCACAUGACAUGGUGACCUAUAUACAUAUAUAUGGCUGUUUUGAUGUAAUAUGCAUGACUGAAAGGUGAGAUAUGUUUGAUAUGUAUGAACUAUAUGUACUCUAUGAUGCCAUGAUCGUUCUAUUUGAUGCAUUGAGUAGUUUGAUGGAUCUUUUACCUGCCGAGUGGUUGUACUCACUCCUUUUGGGGAUUAACAUUUCAGACUAGAUAAGAUACCUCUGCUGCCACUGCCACCGGUAGAUGGAUCAAGUGGUUGGAUAUGACCACGAGGAGGAGGAUAGCAAAGGCAGGAACUUUUGGACGCCAAUACUGAUCGACGGACUUUAAAUAUAUGAUUGUUGGAGGUGAUGUCAGUCAUCUUUUGAAGUAUAGCCGAGUAUAGAAGACUGCGACAUUUUGAUGUACCGAUGAAUGAUGUCCAUCUGGUUUAAGUAAAUAAAAGUGUUCGGCUUUUACCUAUAAAUGUUUAGUUGGUGUGCAUCGUUUUAUGAAUAUAAGAAAGGGAGUUGAUGGAUGUGCUUCCGCCAUAUAAAUUGCGCAGGGACCAAUCUAAAAGAUGUAAACCCCCAGGAUUGAUAGACCUUUUUGUCAAGCAAGAGAAUGGAAAUCGAACUGUGGCGACCCUAACGGUUCGGGGUCCGUCGAGGGGUGCCACAGUUUGUACCGGAGAGAUUUCUAGGAUCUGACAUAGAUCUUCGGGGAAAAAUUUCGAGCUUGUUCCGUUUGGUGGUGGUAGGCAAAUUUGUCCGGUAUUGCCUUUGGCCACGAGAAUGUUACAUCUGAUGCUAGGUUCGCUAAUUAACUCAUUUAAUUGGAGGCUCAAAGAUGGUGUCCCGCCAGAAAAUAUGAACAUGGAAGACAAGUUCGGGAUCAACAUGCAGAGAACUCAGCCACUAAAAGUCGUGGCCUUACUAGCGUAAAUUGGGGAAAGAUUUAUGUCAUAAAACGUGUACUAAUAAAGAUUCGUCAUAUUAAAACAUUCGGUGCCCAGUUGUUCUUUGCUUGACAUCAUUACGAAUCCAUGGAAACACUAAGAUAUUAUGCUUUUAAACGGUAUAUGUGUAAUUUUGGUGUUGAUGCUCCACUUCAUCAGCAAGUAACUUAGGUAAUGUGACAUCCCAAAUUUUUAAUACUAAUUUCUUCUAAAUAAGUCGGGCAUUUCAUCGACGCACUUAUAGGGCUGUUCUCAAAACUGAUCACUCUCGAGAUAACUAGAAUAUUCAGGGCAGCUAUUAAAGAAUUUUAAGGCGAUUGACUAGAGAAUUCAACCAAGAAUCGAUUUCUUGACUAUGCUCAUCUUUAGAGGCCAUUAUGGCACAGUAUAAAAUCGAUUUGAAAUCAGAGAUAGGUCUUUUUGACUGAGAUGUAUGGUUAAUCGUGGGUGACCCCACUAAAUUGGAAAAUUCUCAUUGAUCGGCCCUAGACUAAUUCUUCUCUUGUUUUGGUACCCUUUGUCCGUAUUUGAAUCAUCGAGAUUUUCACGACAACCGAAGGUCACCAAUGCAUCAAGCGGGUUCAUUGUAGCUCGAAGAAAAUCGACCAUGGGUCAUUUACACUAAAAAUCUCUUAAACCUACCCAAUAGCCUAGGUCACGCUAAAAACGUGUCUGAGUGAAAUUAACCGCGAAUUUGAGUCCAAUUUUAGAAAUUGAAGAUUAUGUCAUGUCACAAUAAAUUCUAGGAAUGUCGACUUAGUCUCAGAAUUUUUUUCUAAAACCCGAGACUUUUUGGGAAAAAGUCAUCACAGGGCCGUUUUUGUGUAGAAAAAAGGGCGGAAUCAUUUUUGGUUGCGAAAUUGGGAUGCAAGAUGAAUCCAUAGGUGAGGAAAAAUAUCAAUUGGAGGAUUGAGGUGUCAAUUGAAUUUGUAAGGGCCAAAUGAUAUUGAAUUGAAGGGAAAACCAAGUCCAAUUAAGAGAGAAUUUUUGCAAAUUCGUAACUCCCCCAUCCACCACCAUUUUGGACCACUUCAAGGUUGUAAAGUGAAGUGUCUUGGUGGCUAAUUGCAGCCAAGGGAUCCUAGCUUGGUGGACAAGUUCAAGGAGACAAACUUGUGGAAAAUGUAGGCAUGUGGCCCCCUAACCUCAUUUCUUCCCUCUCCCUCUCCUCAACCUCAACUGUGUGACAGCCCCUUCCCCAUCUCCAUUGCCACCGUUUGAAGACCAGAAACCCAGCAAGAGAAGCCGCCAUCCACGCUGCACGUUGUCGCCCUCCGCCGGAAAGCCGUCUGCUCGCGCGAGUACCUCCCACGUGCCAUCCAGCCGCCUCUGCUGUGCAUCCCAUCCUCAGUCCAGCAGCUGGUGGAGCUCAACUGAAGCUGUCCUUCGCCAUUCCUCCGCCGGUAAACCCCUGCCAAGGCCCGGUUUGGCCUUUUCACCCUUUCUUGAUCAAUGCCCAUGUUAACCAAGCUUGUUUCCCUUCUGUUUCAGCAAGAAUAGAAUAGAAACUUAGUGGGUUUCCAACAAGGUGUUAGGCCCGUUUUGAGGUGAUUUUGAGCCUCGAAACAUAGGCCCGCUUUGAUGAAAGUCGACCCUUGCGACAUUCCUGUCGGUUUGAUCUCACCCGCUCAUUAAUCAAGUGAGUUUUGCUUACUAGAUCUUGAUUAGUAUGCUAAAGAUGUUUAGGAGUUGAUUAAAUUUAUUUAAAUGCAAUUAGGUGGAUAGAUUAGAUUAUAGUAAUUAUAUUAGAGACUUAUUAAGGCAUGUUAGGCAAAUGGUUAGUGUAGUUAACAAGGAAAUAGGUCCUAGUAUUUAUUAAACGAAUCUUGAAAAUUUUCUUGGUCCGUUUUGGCAUCCAAUUAGGCAUUACGAGCCUAAAUUAGAUUUAUUGUAUUUAAUAAUUUCCGUAAUUAUUUAAUUAAUUAAUUAUUUUCCAAAAAUUAGGCUGAGAUAGUCAACAAUCGGAGUUUUAUGCUGAUUAUCGUGGUGCAAUCUGUUUAUUUAUUUGAGUACUAAAUCGUGCUGAAUUGAUUUAAUUUUGAUUUUAGGAUUUUAUUCAUAAAUUAAUUAAUUUUGAUAAUUGAUUGGAAAUUAAUUGGGCAUCGGUUUACAGCGCCAAAAAUAUGUAAUGGAUUGUUGAAACUAGUGGGAUAUUCGUAAAGAUUAAAUUAUUAUAUUUUGGCUAAGGCCGACUGUGUACCCACACACGGCUAUUUUUAUCGAGUAUGAUAAAAAUGAGAAGUUGACUAAAUGUCUGAAUUGGUAUACUAUAUUGGCCUGGGGGCCCUAAAUUAUUAGCUUUGGGCGAGCAUAUAAAUAGUAUACCAUAUGAUCAGCUUUGGGUGAGCAUGUAUUAUCAGCUUUGGGCAAUCAUAUAUACAAUAUACUAUAUUAUCAGCUUUGGGCAAGCUAUAUUAUCUAUAUUCAGCUUUGGGUGAGCAGUCCUAGACUAAGGUCGAACUUUAUAGAUAGUACUAAAUGUACUGACCGGAGGAAUGUCGUGAUGACAUGCAAUCGAUUAAAUCGAUUGAUCAAUGCUUUGAUAUGAUGCUGUGAAUUGAUGUGGUUCCUGUAUAUUUGAUAUAUACUGUAUUGCAAGAAGGAACUGAGGCCAAGGUAAGUCCUUUGACUCGGGUUGUGCUUAGGCGGCCUCUAGAGUGUAUUGGCUUCCUAAUUGAGUCUUAGGGGGUAGAACUUGUUAAAACCUAGUCUCAUCCCGGUUGUGGGACAACAUUUCAGGUCUCUAGAUGACAGCCCCUCCACCUCCUCGUCCUCCCAUGCAUUUUGGUAUUUCCGAAGAGGUCACCGAGAUAAUGUAUCACUUCCCGAUACACCCCAAUCCUGAAGGAUUAGAAUAUGUUUUAGUAAAAUCAACCGUCUGGGUUGAUGUGGAUAGGGACGACUUGAGGCCCCACGAGUAUCGAUCGUGGUAUCAUCACUACCAUGAUGGAAGAAGAGAGGGUCCAAUAUUGGAAGAUGAUGUGCCUCUGUUCGUCUUAAAGGCAGCGUUUGGAGAAGGGACUGCAGAUCCCAAGGAAGGAGCAAUGAUCGACGCAAAAGAUCCCAAGCUAGGUGAUGAUCCCGACUCGCCAGAGCCAUCAGCAGUAGACUCCAACUUGAGUAUGGAGGAAUGUGAGGUUGUUGAGGAAGAGGAGUACCCAGAGGAGAACUUGGAGGAGGAGCUUGAGGAGGAACCUGAGAAAGAACCUAAAGAGGAGUCAGAGGAGGACCUCGAAGAUAAUUCGGAGUAUGAUCUUGAUGAGGAUUGAGGCUCCACUCCUGUUUAUUGACUUGUUGCUGUCGAACCUGUUUGAAUAGAAACCGACUUUCUAGUGUGGCUUAUAUAUGUAUAUAUAUGAUUGAGUUGUUAUAUAUGUAUAUAAGUGUGUUGGUUUUUAGGUUCGAGUUUUUAGUCCUACUUAUCUAUCUUAUUGCUUUAUUGUCUGGGGAUUAUUAUUAUAGGCUUCCGUAUGCGUAUUAAAAUGAAAGAGUCGGCGAUGUAUCUUGGGACAUCGCUAUUAAUCGACCAAGGUGAGGGAUGGGUGCGUGCCCGAAGAUCGGGGCAUGACAGGUCAUGUAAUCUCUUAUCAGUAACAUGACUAAGCACUCAGAACAUGCAAUAACCCUCUAUUGCUUGUUCCCUUAAACUUGGUAUGUUUAGAAAUCCAAGAGCCUUUGAUUUGUUUAUUGCUGAUAGGACUGGAGAACAAAAAGAACUUGCAGAAGAUGACAAAUUGAUCCUAUGUGUUUUUUAUUUGUCUCGCCCCUAAACUCUAAUAUGUCUAUAGUUCAAGAUGAAAGAAGCAUACUUUUUUCCUUACGUUUUUAAGUGACAAACUUUAUUUGGCGAUUUACUAGCGCACGCCAGAUAACGGUACAUUUACAAAGUGAGCUACCUCCAGAAAACAAUGAACUACAUAGAGAUUAUAAUCUGUCCUACUCAAUUUUUGCAUAUAUACCACAUCAACGGAAAAUUUUAGGUAGCCUCAUGAAUUGGGAUGGUAACGAUUGGGACCCAACCCUUGAUGUACAUAUACGGUCUCGAUUCAAUUUCCUAAUGCAAUAUGACUGAAGGGUGAAAGAAGAUGAGAGGCGAUAAGAGGGUCUGGUGCAUUGGACCAGUUUCUUUGUGUAAUACGGACCAUCUCGAUCUGGCUAAGAGGAGUAAUGAGGCUUCACUGAUUCAAAGAAGUGCCUCAGUGGCUUGACAUGAAAGUAAUGAUGAAAAGAAAAAGUAGAACUAUCUCUAAGUUUCUGGCUUUUUUUCUCAUUUGUUUCCCCUAUUCUUUAGAGUUUUGAUUUAUAACCAAUUUUAUGCAAAUAAGACAAGUAAAACUUAUAUGACACAAGUUGACAGCUCCUUGGUCGCAAAAUACCCUUGCGACACCUGGCAAGUGAAACUCACCAUGCCAACCUUUGUUUAAGAGUUGUUCUAGAGAACAAUAUGGUGAAUAUAUUCCUUAUAUGAGAUUGUACCACGCCUAGCUUAACUUAGAUGUCUAGUUAACCAAGCAUGACAACAUAUCACUUUAGGCUCAACAAUUGGUUUCGACCCACCAUAGUCUCAUUGGGAGAGCAGCAUCAGCUCCUGAUCAAUUUGUGCACAGUCAACCAACCCAGCCUUCAGAACUCUUAAGUAAUAUUGUCCAUCUAUCAUAAAACUCCUACAACCAAUCAUUCUAACGCCACUCCCUUGAACCAAUUGUGAUUAUCCCCUCUGUAUCACUCACUCUUCACCCAAUAACCCCAAACUCCACUCACAAGGGUUCACAAGUAUAGGAAAAUCACAAACCGUGACAUUCUCUCCCACUUAGUUCUGCAAGGCCCUUGUUGUGGGCUGCUCUGUCAUUUCCUUGUGUUUCCUUAAUCAUUGAUGUGCCACUUUGGAUCAUACAUUGAAUAGGAACGCUCACCCAACAAAACAAAUCACUCCAUUGGUAGCUUCUUUUGAUCACAACUGUUUGUGCCCCUUCGGUAACAUGCACUUCUCCAGGCAAGUGUGGCAUUUUUUGCCAACUGCGCCUUUUUGGCAACUCCAUAUUUUGCCUACUAAACCUUUCUUGAUCCCAGCAGACUAAUGGAGGUUUCUUCCCUUGCUGAAAAUGUGGUAGCAGACCUUUCCUUAAGACUUGCCAAUUAAUCCAAUAACGUUUUUUCUAUUCAGUGAGGAAUUGAACCUUUCUUGUGCCCCUAUUGCCAUCCUAGAAGGUCAAGAGCCGCCUUUGCCCGAGUGCCUUUUGCCUCGACAAUUCACUCUUUGCCCACAUAGGACCAGAUAGACCACAAGUUUUCUCCAACUCAACCCCCUUACUGGAGGGAUCUUGCUAUGAUUCCAUCUAUCAUGAGUCAUUAGUUCCUUGGCCACAGAAUAACCCGUGCAUUGUCUAACAAGCGGAAUUCACCAGGCCAACCUUUGCUCAAUAGUUGUUCCUGAAAACAAUUGGACGAAUAGCUUCCUUAUAUAAGAUAGCACCACACCUAGCUUAGUUCGGGCUUCUAGUCUAUCAAAAGAGAUAGUAGAUCACUUUAAGAUCAACAACUAGUUCGGCCUGCCAUGGCCUCAUCAAGAGAGCGGUAUCACCUCCUAACCAGUUUGUGUACGAGAGGCCAAUCCCGCCUUCAGAGCUCCAAAGUAAUAUAAUCCUUCUAUCUUAUAACUCCUAGCAUCAAAUGUCCUAAUGCCACUCUCAAGAACCAAUUGUGUUCAUCCUCUCCAUAUCACUUACUCUUCACUCGAUAGCCACAAACUUCACUCAUAAGGGUUCAUGAGACGGGAGAAUCAUGGACUGUGAUAUUAACUAUUAAACAAAGGCUAACCUGGUGAGUUCUGCUCGCCAAGCACUACACAGGUUAUUUUGUGAUCAAGGAAGUACCAACGCGUGACUCAUAUCACUCAAUGUGAAUAUGAAAAGGAACAAAACUACAUAAUUACUUUGCACCAAAGAAUUGAUUAUCAUGUGUAAUAAAGGAAAUAUUUCAUUGUAGAAAAUCCAGGCAUAUAUGACAAGUUGAAAGAAUAAAUAAGAACAAUUGAAAUUAGAUUUAUGUGACUUAAUCGAUAUAUUCUAAUCAUCAACUAGGAAAAAGCGAUUUAGGUGGGAAAAAUCGUGCACAUAUGUUAACUAAUCUUUAAACGACUAACACUAUCUUAAAUUCAAUAUAAGGUUGAAGUUUAUAAAUUAAGUGAAGAAUGUAGGGAAGUCACAAUUAAAUCGGAUUGAAUCCAUAAAAGGGCCCAACUUUGUGUUCUAUGUGUGAGAAUUUAGUAGGACCACCGCAAAUUAUUCCAAAAGUCAAAUCGUUAGAUGAGGGCAUGGUUAUUAUUUACAUAUUCUAACACACCCCUUAUGGCAUCCUAAUUUUCAACAUUGUCCCGAUAAUAUGAAUUGGGCUUUUCAUGGAUGUGCCAUAGUUUUUUUCUCUGAGCUGAUCGCUUAUGAGAUAACUAAUCUAUCAGGUGAAGCCGUUAAAGAAUAUAAACGCGACUGAUUUGAGAAUUCGAUCAGAAAUUGACUGCUUGACCGUGCUAAUUUGCAAGGGUAAAUACGGCAUUGUUAAAAUCGACUAGAGACUGGAGAUAAGUCGAUUCGACAGAAGCAUGUAAUUAAAGUGUGGGUGAUUCCACCUGAUUGCAAAGUUCUUAUCGAAUGGCACUAAACUGAUUUUUCUGUCGAUUAUGUACCCGGUACCCGUAAUUAAAACCUCGAUAUUUUCACAACAACCAAAAGUUGCCUAUGAGUCGAAGAUGCACAAUGUGGAUUGAAAAUAAUCGACCAUGGAUCAAAAGCGCUAAAAAUUCAGAAAAGUUACUUGGUGGGUUAGGUCACGCUAAAAUCGCGUCUGGUUGAAAUUAACCACGAAAUUGAACCAAUUUUUAGAAAUCGAAAGUUCUAGCGUGUCACGAUUUAUUUUUGGAAUGUCGACUCAUCCUUUGAAGAAUUUUUGGCGAGCCCGGAUUUUCGGUGAAAAAUCAAAAUUGGACAAUUUAAAACCGGGAAAUUCGGAUGACCAUUUUUGGGCGGAAUUUUGGCAUUCAAGAUGGAUCAAAUGGUGAAGGAAAUUAUGGAAAGUGGUGUGGGCUUCCUCCUUAGCAUUUUGGCCAUUGAAUUGAGGUUAAUUGGAGUAAACUUGGUGUGAAAUUGAAGUGGAACACUUGAAAUUCGUAGGCCAUGGGGGUUGCAACAUUUGGGGAUCAAUCCUUAGCUUGUUGGAGAAGGUUGGGAGGGGAAAUGGCUGUGGAUCAAGGCUGAAGACUUUUGGGGCUUUUACUUGAGUGUUUUAGAUCUUUUGGCUUGAAUUUAGAGGCUUCUUGUCCCCCCUUCCAACUACAGCAACACCAUCUUCUUCUUCCUUGCUUCAAUCUCCAUUUCCAGCUCCAACACAAAGCAAACUAGCAACCAGCCCCAUCGAAGCAUCUUUUCGUCACCAUCUCUCCACCGUCCGUCCAAGCCGUCACACGAGCCACUGCCCACCUCCAUUCAUGCUUGUCCCAAGCCCACUCGUUCCAUCAACCCGUGUCUGCUUCACAUCGUCACUACUGUCCCCGUGCCCAUUCGUGUCGUUCCACCAUCCGCCUGGGUCCAGCAGCCGUCCAGCCCAAUUGCCAGCUCUGCAUAUCCCAGCUCCGACCACCCCUGCUCGCCUAGCCGUGCACCUCUCGCCUCCGUUAGCUCGAGCCAACUCACUUCAGCCUCGAACAGAAGCAAAGCUAGGAGCAAACCAUGAGGUUGGUUGGGCUUUUCGGGCCCUUCCAUACUUCCUUUGGUAUCACCAUAGACCUAAGUCUUGCUUGCUUCCACGUUGCCGUCGCUCUGAAUCGGUUCAUUUGCUAAUCCGGUGAGUUAACCUCCUAAACCUUAAUUAUGGGGUUAAUUAUGCUUAGGGAAUGGUUAGUUUAAGCUAAGUGUGAUUAGUGUAAUUAGUUGGCUUGUUUAGUUAAAUUAGAUUAGUUAGUUAGGCCAAUUAGGUGGUUAGUUGAGUUAAUUAGUUAGUUUAGUAGGUUAUGUACAUCUAGCCUAGGUAGAUUAAUUUAGUUAGUACAAUUAGUUGGUUAAAUUAGUGUAUUCAGCUUAACUAGUGCCUUAUUUAAUUAUUUUGCAAUUUAUUUAAUUAUUUUGUAAUUUAUCUAAUUAUUUAUUAAUUAGUGGAAAUUAUAUCGGGAUAGCCGGUUGUUAUAAUUUCGUGCUAAUCAUGUGGUGCAAUUGGUUUGCGCAAUUGAGUGCUAAUUUAUGCAAUUGAUUGAUGAUUGAUGAUUUUUGAUUUAUUAUUUCAAAGUAUGGAAUUUUGGUAUUUAAUUAGAAAAAUAUCGGGUGUCGAUUUUUGACGCCCAAAAUGCUUUUAGGUACAAUAUAAAAUAGUGGGAUUUUUAAAAGAGAGGAUAUCACAUUUUGUGAUUCAAUUUGAUUGUGUACCCACACACAAUUAUUUUACCGGGUGUUUUUAAUAUGAAGAAAAUAGGCCAAGCACAUUAUUUAAAUUUAGACAUUUGAGUGCAAAGCACGAUGUCCUUGGUCGGGAUUGGAUGUGCGUGUAAUUGUUAUGAGAACCCGUCACAAGCUUUUAUUCCAGACAAUGCUCCUUUGGGAAUGCCCCACAUCAACGGAUGCUGGUCGCAAUGGAGGCUGGGCCGAUGCGCAUUCAGGAAUGCCAUCUAGAAGUAGACAUUGCCGUGCUCAAUGGGGCAAGACGAUGCCCGACUAUGUCGGAAGACCGCUGACUGUUGAGUCGAUCGUGGUCAUUGGGUAGUAACUAAUUGGAACGCUUGAUUGAGCGAAUUGACUACGUUUGAUUAUGGGACAAAAUUGUGUGGCACAGAAUGGGAUGUGUCAUAAAGAUUUGGCCUUAUAUGGGACCCUUAUGAUUGAUUGAGAUGUAAGUUGAAGUGUUUCAAUUUUGGAGUACAUUGACCGGAUGCAUAUGUUAUAUAAACUGUACUGAUGUGCAGAGAGGUGCUGAGGUGAGGUAAGUCUCAUUUGACGUAUGCUUAGGCUGCCUUUAGGUGUAUUGUCUUCCUAAUCGGGGUUUAGGGUGUAAACUUGCUAAGACAUUGUCUCACCCCAUCGCGGUUUAAAUUCUUUACAAGUCCCUAGAUGGAGGUGUGCCACAUCCGUUUUGGGUGGCUAUAGGAGGUGAAGACCGAGCAUACCAUCUUCCUUGUCCUCGGGAAUCCUUGGACCUGUGAGCUCGUUGUGACUACAAUCUGGGUCGAUGAGGGCCAACCUCAGUUGGUACCUCAUCGAUUCAAAACUUGGUUUUGUCACGGGCCUAGUGGGGUUCGGGAAGGUCCAGUGGAUUGUUUUGACGGACCUGCCAUCGAAGGUGAGGGUGAGGUGGUACUCAACCCUGUUGUGGAUGCCAAUAUUAUUACAAAUAUCACAGAGAACCAGUUGGCCGAGGAUGAGCAAGAGCCCGAAGUAGAGGAGGUAGCUGACCCUCUAGACCUUGUCAUCCCUAACAGUGUCGUAGUGAACCUGGAUCCCAAGUAGGAGGGUCCAUGAUAGGGUUAGCUUGGUAGUCCUUUUUUGGAUCUUGACCUCUUGUACAUAACUUUGUAGGGCUAACCUGGUUUGUUUAUAUAAGUGUGUUUAUGAAAUUUGUUGUCCUGCUUUUCUAUCACUUGUUUGUUUGUUGUUUGAAGAUUGUUUAUUUCACUUCCGCAUGUGCAUAAUCGAUUGGGUCGGCGACGCGUCUUGGGAACGUCGCAAAUUAGUCGACCACCGAGGAAUGUGCACGUGAUGAAGGUUCGGGGUGUAAAACCCCUUCACGUUUAGUCUAGUCAUUUGCCUAGUACUAAGCAUAGAAAAUAUUGAGGCCUGGAAAAACUUGAAAUCAGGAUCUCCAGUGCUGAUUUCAUGUGAAAAUUUAGAGGGAUCACUGUCAACAGUUCUAAAAUUUUAAGCUAUUAGAUGAAGGAAUGGUUAUUAUUUGCAUAUUCUAAAACUUUGCUUGCCUGGGAAGCCUAUGCAACCUAACGCCUACUGAGCUGAAAGAGCUUGCUUUGGGCAAAGAGAACAUUUGUUUGGGUUUUAAGGAAGCCAGCUCCAAGAUCUCGAGCGGUGGAUCUCGGAGAAAAAGUACGAGAAGCGAAACAAGGGACGAGGUUUCCUGUUAGGGAGCUGGGCCCUGCAGACGCUCAUCCUGUCGCAACCCCUCGAUAUGCACGGGUCUGACCGCUGACGGGCCCCAUGUUUGGGGACUACUCGUGCAACGAGAUACUGGUGGUGGAGGUGGCGAGGGUCAGGGAAGAGGAUCCGAUGGGGUGGCGCGCAGGGGGGGCGCUGGCGAGGGUGCGGAAGGAGAACGUGAAGGGAGGGCGUGGAGGAGUUGUCGGGCCGUGGCCGAUGAAGGGAAGCAAAGGAGGGGGAGAGUCAAGGAGCCCGUGGCGAAGGCGAAGAAGGCAAUGGGGGUAGGACGGAGCUCGAGUCUCAACUUGGUUGGGCUGGUCCAUGAGAUUCUGCAAUUGCAACAUGUAGUUGAUGGUUCGAGCAAUUAAUUCGUAAUGGCGUAUAUGAUCUGGUUACUAAUAAAUUCCAGACUCUCUCAUAUGCAAAUGUCUUUCGGAAGUCUUCUUUAUGCCUUUCAUCAAAUAUGCCGUAAAUUUAUCACAUCCCUGAUAUUUUGUCAUGGAUGCCUUUUGUAUUCCAUUGAAAUUUAUGCAAAGAGUAGUGAACAUCAUUUGUAUUUCAUACAAGGAGUGCAUUUGAGGUUUUAAAAGUCUCGAGUGUCGACCUUUUAAUAUACUAUGAUGUAAGAUUUAUCGUUUCUUAAAUCAUUUCAUCUCGAUUAUUUCACUUACCGAGCAUUUUCUUCAUAGUCAAAUUGUGGGAGACUUGUGACUACACGUGCCACUUUUGAAUUAUGUGAUAUAGCUCACUUGAUAAGCGACUACGUACACAUCGGUAUAUAUGUCUGGUCAUUUUUCCUAAAGAUCAUCCGGUGAACAUUGAAAAAUGAACGGACUGUACAUACUUUCUCAAAGAAAUUAUAUUUAUCUUUUUGCCCACCUUAUUGUAUCUUCAUUUUCACCUCAUAUGGCUCAUCGGUCAAUUCUUUUGGUGUCAUUGGGUCCCUUUCCUCUUUCAAGAAUCUCCUUCAUUCUUCCACUCCGUUCUAGGAAUUUAUCAAUUUUUCGGGGUCUCAAAGGCGCACAGAAACUGGAAAAGGCAUAGGAAUGACUCAGUCCCAUUAGAAGAGAAUAUGACAAGGUGCACUUUUCCCUUUUGUACGACCACUUGUUAAGAAGAUAAGCGAAGCACCCUACUCUGUUCUCAAAGACAGUUUACAUGUGCUGCAUCAUGGGAUUUUAUUACAUCGUUUGCAACCUACCGUACCAUUAUUCAACUGGCUAACACUAGACAUAAGCUUAUCACCCAAAGACCGUUAUCGAAAGGAAUACUUUCAACUUGCAGCAGCAUCGAUACGUAGAGAUGUCAUCGAUUCAAUACUUCUCUCAGAAUCUGGUUUGUAAAGCUGGAUUUCUCGUCCAUUCAGUGGUUGAAUAGGUCUAGCAUUAUUCCAGGCACCCUGCAAUUCGUAAUCAUCUUUUGAACAUGAGAAAAUUACACACGACAUGUCGUAGCGGUAAUCUUAAUCAGGGAUGUAACCACUAAGGUUUUGAUGGAACAAUGUGGCCGAGAAACUUAGGGCACUUACAUCAUCAACGAGAUGUCUCAGCGACCAGAUUUGUUCCUCUGUGGCACUGCUGGGCUGGUGAACAUUGAACAAGGAAUGGUUAGUUUAGAAAUUACUUACAACAUUAGAAUUUACACUUUCUAAACAUUGCUGAUCUGGUGAAACAUCGACGCCUUCUGCGGUUUACCUGCUUGUUGACGAUCCAUUUGACUCCUUCUGUGCAGGGAGGGGUCGUGAGAGAGCCCAUGUAUCUGUAGUAACUGUGUUCACCCCUGAUGAUCUCUCUUGGGUCGAUCACCCCCACUUCUAUCUCUUCCCCAGCUUCCAUCUCUUCUCCAUGUGUUUCGCACAUUAUACGCCUCAACACCUGCACAUCGUCAAAUUAUGCUUAUUGCCGCAUUCGAUCGAAUACACAUGGAUCGACAUAAAUUGGUCCAACAACAAGAUGUCUGACGCCAAGAAGUGCUUUUCGCUUCUGUUCUGAGGUUUAGAAUUUGGAAACUACAGUAUGUAUGCUGUAAUUCUACCUGUAUACAAGUGACAACAACAGUCCCACCCUGUGUUUUGUUCGCCUUUUGGGGUCAUUCCUCUUACAUGUUUCGUUGUGAUAAAAACUAAAUUUGAUGUAGUAGCUAUUGCGAUUGUAAUGUAAUAAAGCCGCAAGAGUGUCACUAUUUACUUGCUAUAUUGUGAAUUUUAUUAUGCAUACAUAUGAUAUACUAAUAAUAUAUAAAUAUACAACAAAAUAAUGUUAGUUGAUCACAUUAUUGCACGUAAAAAUUGUCAAAUGCACCAUCACAGAAAUAUAAUUGUAAGAUUAUUGUAUUACCAAUAAGAUUAUCUUUAAUGGAGAUUCCCGAAAGAUUGAAGUAAGAAUAUAUUAACCCUUCCAUCGUCUACAACCCUUUCAAAGAAAAUAACUCAUCUUUGUCGUCCACUUCAGUUUAUUCUUCUCAUUAAAAAAAGAAAAGGAAAAACCUUUUCAAUGGCUCAAACUGUAAAUGCAUACAAAACAUAAAAAGUACCCACUGCUUUUAGAUUAAAAAACUACUCGACACCCAAACACUUGAAAAAAUAGCCAAAUUUUAAUACAAAUUUCAUAGCGGCGCGCGCAUUGAUUCUAGUUGUUCUGUAUAAGAAAUUUUUGCAUACCUCGCUAAUAAAAGCAUUUGGUUCGCCUAUCUCGUACAGUAGUCCAACAACAACAGUGUUGCCCGCAACCUCUGCAUCUAAAGUUGAGUGAACCGUGUGAAGCUCCAAUUGAUACCUACACAAAAACAUUUUCCAAUUUCAUCAACAUAUUGAGCCACAAAAUGGGACAAGUGCGCCAGGAAUUCUAAAAUUAAUCACAAAAGUGAAAUCAAAUCAUAAAAAUUACAAAUAUUACAAUCAACCUCCAGAGCUUAUCAAAUUAGUACAAUCAAAUACUUCCAUUAACUCUGUUAAUAUGAGAGGUUGAAAAUACUAACACGACAAUUUUUUUUACAUUGUCUUGAGGACACAAGGUGCUCGUGGUGCCAAGUGUAGAUGCCGGAUGAGGGUAAAAACCAAAAAUAAAAAAUAAAAAAAUAAAAACCAGCCAAAUAAGGAAACUACAUCUUGAGGGGGCUAAUCCUCCAAGUUUUCUUAUAUGCAAUCAAGACCUCUAACUUUUGUAAUUUGUGCAAUCAAAUCCUUCGAUCAACUAUUUUAACUAAAUUAUGAAAUUAAUUAAUGACAUGUGACUUAUGUGACACAAAAUGACACAAGAUGCUAACGCGGCAUCAAGUGAAUAGAAAACAAAUCGGCAAAACAAGGAAAACGAAUCAUAAUUUGACAUUAUUUGUUAUGAUGGGUCAACAAAGCACUCAAUUGCACACAUCAAGAAAGUCAAAUUAUUUGAUUGCACAAAUCCAAAAAUUUAGAGGAUUUAAUUACAAAAAAAAAAAAAAAAGAGUUAGAGGACGGAAUUGCAUAAACCCAGAAAGUUAGAGGACUUAACUACCCAAAAUAAAAGUUAGAAAACCAAAUAGCAAAAAGGAUAAAAACUUUGUGCUUAACCCUUUCUUUUUUCCCCCUAAGGUUAUGCUUACGAAUGUAAUUGUCAUUUUCCCUCAACAAUCAGCUUUUCUAAGAUUGUAAGACCUUCACAGCUGUAACAGCUUAAAGCAGCUUUUAGGAAAUUACAUUCCUUAGCUCUAAGGUGCGGUAACCUUGUUGCAGUGUUACUAUUUUAUAAAGUGAAGUGGCUUGUCAAUUUGGCAAUACUUUUUAAAAUUAUAAUGCCUCAAAGUAGGGUGAAACGCUAUUCUUAAAAUCCCUAUAGCUAUGAAUGCGACGUAGCCGUAAGUA